UACAGUUUUCCACCCCAGCAGCCAACCAGAAUUGACCCCUAUAACGUCCCUACUUUCAACUACCAUAAUUAUCAUAUAUACACACAACUUUGUAUAUGUGUGAAAGUUGCAUAUUUUGCAUACAUUUUUCAUUUUCAUUUUCAUUUCAAUAUGGCUUUGUAUUUAUCAAAUAUCUUUGGGUGCUUCUCUGAGUCCUCAUCUCCACAAUCUAAAAGAUACGAAUGCAACGGUGAUGUUUGUGUUCUCAGAAAUCCAAAGGAAAAUAUUAACAAAAAAGCAUCCAACACCAAUAAUAAGCAAAAGCAAUUUUCUCGUUUUUCUAUCAAAUGGUCUCCAAGAUCACGCUUCUGAAUAGCAAGGCUCAUGAUUCUUCUAUAAACAGGUUGAUUAGUGUUAUUGAUUCAUCAGUGUAAUUCUCUUUGUUCCAUCUAUAUAUUGUUUUUUUUUUUUUUUUGGAGAGGAUAUAUUGUAUUUUUUGUUGUUAUUAUGAAUUAGCAUGCAUAUGCAUAUGAGGUAUAGGAUUGUGAUCGUUAAGUGAACUAUUGGAGGCUACAAAAAGUGGCAUAUUAUUUAUUUUUCUUCUCAUCAAUUAAUAUAUAUCCUACCUUAUUCCAUCUUGAUUUUUUCUUAAUGUGACUUUAUUUUAAUCUCUUAUGGUUACACGAUUCUGCUGAAUCAUUAAGGUGAUCGCAUGAAAUAAUUGUUUUUAUGUUUUAGUUAUUUCUUGUAAACAAUUAAAGUAAAUUUUUAGGAUUGAAGAAAAUAAUUUGUCUUAAUCCUCCAAAUUAUAAGAAAAAUGUCAUAUAAUCUACAAUUUGGUUGAAAUAUAACUAAAUAUUAAUUAAAGAUUGUUUCGAUCAACAACCAAAUAUCAAACUCAGGUGGUACGGAUCGAUUUGAUCCUAAUCAAAGUUCAUUAAUCAAUUGAGUACACUUUGUUUUAAAAAAAAAAAAAAAAAACUAGAUGCCUGUAAAUACUUGCUUAUAAGUAUUUGACGGAUACUCGUGUGGAUAUAAAGUGAUCACGAAUAGUAUAUUUACCUAACAGAUCUAAUAAGGAAUCGUACUCAUUGACAUCCCUUGGUAACUUUGCUGGAGGAUUUGUAUUUGCUUGUGGGAAAAGUUUUGUUUUGAACUGAGUUGGAGUAAAUUGUAAUUCACUCAAUAUUAAGAAAGUUAACCAUAUAUAUACACGGUGUGACAUCAGUAUUAUAUGUAUAUUAAACUAUAUAGCUUAGGGAUUUCUCUCUUCUUUUUUUUUUGGAUAAAAAGGGGCAACCGCAACAGACAACGAAACUGAAAAGAACCUAAAAUCUUUUGAAAAUGGUACAGAACAACUAUCACCUAACAAAGCUACAUAAGCAAAAGGAGGAAUGAGAUCACCAUCGUAAUGAUAAGUUCAUUACUCUCUUUAAGUUGGACGGAUCUUUUCAUGAAUGCAAAUUAUACGGACCCUUAAACUGAACCUAACCAUAUGUUUAAACUUUAAAGAGCUAAAUUACUCUAUCCGAUCUCGAAUAUAAACAACAAAAUAGUAGUUUUAGAUAAUGAGAAUGGUCAAAAAAAAGUUGUACAGUGAGUCAAAAAAGAGUUGUAGAAGUUUUUUAUUGACGUCGUAAUACAAGUUAAGUUACAAUCACAUGAAACAAUACAAAAAUAUGGAAGAUAAACAUAAAUGUACGAUGAUUAGGUGAUGAAUGAAUCUACAAGGUACCGACUCCCAACGACCAAAAUCAUGUUAGAUGGAAUGAAUGAAUGGGGUAGAUUAGGUAAUGAAUGAAAGAAUUAAUGAACAAUUUUGUCAGAUGACAUUAUCUUCUGAGUCAAUUUUAUGAUAUUCAAGUGAGACAAGUUUCGCAUCAUAUAAAAACUUAUUUUGAAUAUUUGAUCAAUACAUCUUGCUAAAUAUGAGAUCAUAUGAGUGAUUGAUUCAAUGAUACAAAAUAUUUGUGCUUGGUAUGAGAACUGAGUCGUAUUCAGCUAUGCAUAUUUAAACAAACUUUAGUCUAAUGUUGAUAAUUAGUAAAUUUUUCUCGAGACAAGAGUUACCAGUUACCACUAAGUUCAUAAUGGUGUGAAAAUUGCUGUUGACACAUCUUGUUAGGCAGAAACACGAGUAAAAUACCAAAAUACCUCUCGGUAGUUAACUGCAGAGGAAACAGGAAAAUACCCUUCGGUAUCAAAAUACCAAAGCAGAGGCAGUAGCUUCAUUUCCUAAACCUGUAAUGUGUUUCAAACACAAAACACAACAUAUGUACUUGUUUUUUUUACGCAUAAUGGUUCAAAUCACAAAAUAAAUAUUGGCGCAAAUGCACAUCUUAAUUAAACCAACAUUUUUACCAUUAAACAAAGUAAAAUAUCCCAAUGAAAUUAAAACUAAUGUCAUCAAAAUACGAAUAUACAAAUCAAUGUCAUCAAAAUACAAAAACUAAAAAACAAGUCCUAAAAAACGAACUACUGCUAGUCCUGGUCCUGCUGAUGUUGUUGGUGCCUCCUCCUCGGCCUCUGGCCUUGCCUCCUGGCCAAUAUCGCCGCGAUCUGCUCUCUAACAUGGCUCAUGGCCUGAAACCAUUGUUGAGGGCUCAUGACCUCCGUCUGACCCAUCUGCACAUCUGCAUAGGCAACAACACUGCUAACCAUGUCAUAUGUAUCAAGCGAGCUUCUCGCCUCGUACCGCUCUCACUGCUCUUCAAUGAUAUGUUCCUCAUUUGCUGGCCUCGGAAGAUCUCUUGGAAGAGGUGGCAAAAUCUGAGGAUGAGGCACCUUAGUGUACCAUAACACAUAGCCCUCCUUCAUACGCCAUGUCGGCUCACCCCAAUCAGGCUCCUUAAGCGUGUGAGUGCGGAAGUCAACAAAUGUCUGCACAAUCUGAGGCGGUGGCAGCUUUACAACAUCCGACGGGCAUGUGAAAAGUGUUGGUCUCGGGAUGUCAUCUCUCGCAUAGAGUCAUCAACAAAGCAUGAGGCACAAUGGCGUAGCCCAGGUAAACCAAAUCAUGUAAUCCGCUCUCCCUAAGCGGAUCCCAAAACCAUCUCUGAUUGUCGUUUGGACGUCCGAGACUCAAAAUCUUAGCCCCAUGAUUAAUUGGUUUUACAACACGCGCCUUACGAACCUGAAAUAAUAGAAAAAUAAACAUAGUUUAAACAAUGUAAACAUUUAACUAAACAAAAUAAAACUUAACAAAUGCAAAAAUAAAAAUCACAAAUUUAAAUUGCCGCACGUAUUUUUAAUUUAAGACAUAACACAUGUAAAACUUAAAACUUAAAAAAAACACAUAACAAAAACAAUUUAAAUCAUAAUUAAACAUAAAGAAAACAUUAAAAGUUGAAAAAAAAAAUAUAAAGAAAAUAAUUAAAUACAAAAAAAAAAAAAAAAACUUAUGUUAUUUGAAUUAUACCAAAGCGGCAAUGACACAUGGUUGGAAUAAGAGUGCAGCAGAGAUAUAUUUUCCGGUCCUCCAGGAAAGGGAGGCUCCACAGGUAACACUACUGGGGCAGCCGCUGCUGCAAUGUCAUCAUCAUCUGGUAUAUGUUGUUGCUCUGGUAUAUGAUCCUGGUCAUACCCACCAUCAGUCGCAUCGUGGUGUACCUGAUCCUGAUAAUUCAGGUACUCCACCUCCUAGGUCGGGCCAACCACCUGCGACUCUUCAGACUGUGUAGCCUGCGAAGCCUUAGAAGCCUGAGAAGUCCCUGAACCAUCCCCCCUCCGACCUCUACCCCUCUUUGGGAUGUGCCCCCUUUGCCUCUCCUUUCGAUGGCUCUAAGUCAUCGCACGCCUACCACCAAUCAUCUUAAAUGGAUCAAUCGGGUCCUGCUCAGACAUAUCUACACAAACAAUUAAAAAAUUUACAUCAUUUCCAUAACCUAAUCAAACACUUUGUGUGCAUCAUUUCAAUAUAAUCUAAACUAAACCUUCACAUUUAAAUAUAAUCAUUCACAUCUCAAUAUAACCUUCACAUUUCAAUAUAAACAUAAACAUUCAAUAUAAUCAUUAUAAUCAUCAUUUCAACAUAAACAUAAACAUUCACAUUUCAAUAAACAUAAACAUAACUAAACCUAAAACCAUUCAAUAUAAUCAUCAUUUCAAUAUAAUUUAUGUGCAUCAUUUCUAUCAUAACCUAAACAUCAUUCAAUAUAAUUUUCAUAAUCUAAACUAACUAAAUAAUCAAUAAAAUUGUUAUUAAGGCAUUUUAUCAAACACUUUGUGUGCAAAGUAUAAAACAUAUUCAAAUUGUGUUCAUUUGUCACCAUUCAAAACCACAUUAUCAUUAAACAUCAUUUAAACAGCAUAGGCAACAACUACAUUCAUUUAUCAAUUCAUAAAAUACACAUGCAAUCAUCAAAUUGUCAAUUUUAAAAUUAACCCUAACACAUGCAAACUACUCAAAAAAAAAUUAAAAACUUAACCUAAACAAACUAACAUUAACAUUGCAAUGAUCAAUGGUACUUACUUGUGAUAAUGUGGGGAUGAUUGGCUUGCAAUUCGUGAAAAUGGAAUUUGGAGAGAAUUUGGGACAUUUUUGAACAAAAGAAGGAAACUGCAAAACUGAGUUUCUGCUUCUGUUUAUGUUUAGCACGUCUCGGCAGUUAUCUGCCGAGCUUUUCCUCGAGAGUUAACUGCCGCCGGUUCAUUUUUUCCUCGGCAGUAACUGCCGAGGGGCAUUUGCGUCUUUUAUAUGUGUUUCUCAGCCAAAUCAAAUGUGUCAACAGCAAUCUUCUAAUGGUGUGGACCUAGUUUGUUACCUAAACCUUGGACCCAGAAAGAAACUUUCACGGCUUUGUCCUUCUCAAAUAUUUCUGCUGCCCCUAUGAAUCUUCUAGGAAGGAAUCCAAGCCACUUAUAGUUGUUUAAAACGGCUAUGGUUGUACUCAAAAGGACAGAAAAAGACACAGCUGGAAAGUAUUCAAAGAGUGUGUUUUCAGACUUUGGAUAAAUUGAUAAAAAUACACUUGCUUAGCAUUUUUUUAACAAAUUAUUUUCUUUAUCUUAUGUAAAAACAUUUUUAAACAAAAAUGUAUUCAAAAAAUUUAAAUAUAUAACUUUAACUAAAAAAAUACUUUUUUUUUUUUUUGAAAGAACUAAAAAAAUACUUAUAAAGUACAAAUGAACGUGUGUAAAUCCAAAUGCAUGCAAUAUUCACACCUAGUUUAUGCUUUAUUAUUUACUAUCUAAUAAUGGGUAUUUGUCUACCUUGAAGCCAUCCAAAAAUUUAAACACUGAAAGUGGGAACCACCAUACAUUUGAUGCUUAGUUUCAUUCAUUCGUGUAACCUUGUUCAAUGUCUCUAAAUGACAAGCUGAUUUUGUACUUCAAUAAUGUGCUUCAACUCCAUUAACUAGCAAUGAAGACCCCACCCGAAAGGUAAGAGUUAGUGAAAGCCACAAGUUUCACUUACAAAACUCAAAAUUGAACAGGAGUCACAUAUCAUAGAUACAUUCUUUGGGGUCUACCAAGAAAAUAAAACAACACAAGAAGCAGAAGACAAGGUGGUCUAAUUUCAAUUUCAAAUGGUGGAUGGUAUUUAACCUGAAUAUUCAUGUAGGCAGUUUAAUCGGUUGAAACAAGAAAAAGCAAAUUUGCUCUUGCAUUCGCGACACAUAAACAUUUCAUGUACAGAAUAAUAACAUUAAGGCCUAAAAUGUGACAUGUAAUCUUCUGAUGAAAUGAAAAUCUAGGCAACUCAAUUUCAUCCAUUUGUAAUGAAUGUACAAGGCAUCAACGGGAUAUUUUACCAUCUAAUGAAAAAUCUAAGCAUUAACCAUAAUCAAUUGACCCGUUGCUAUUUUCUGUGGUUUUCAACUCCAAGAUAAUACAAAUACAUGCUGCAGCAUGUCAAUAAUCCCUUUCUGGGAAAUAUGGAAAGGUUCUAGAGCUAUUUUCUCCCAAGUGUUUGAACAUAAGGAAACUCAUUGUGAUUUACCUUGUGUCAAAUCCUACUUAAGAAAACCAUAAGAUCCCCAACAUAAGCAUCCAAGGGAUAAUAAUCUUCUACAGCACAUGGUAUCCAUUUCAUACCUUUCAAAGUAACAAAGCGGUAACCUUUUCCUCAACUUUAUGAAUCAAAAUCAGAAUCCAAUGACAAGAGCCGAAAUUCAAGGAGUCAAAUUUUUGCAGAAACAUGCGCAUCAGAAUUGGAACACCGUGUCAUAGCUGCAAAGCCAGGUCUGGUUGUUGCGAGUCAACCAGCACGCCAGAAGAUUGUUUUGCAGGGGACCCAGGUGAUUGGAAAUCAACGUUCAAGUCAGGCGGAAGUGUUUCUUGUUUCUGUCUUGGUUGACUAUGAGGCCGGACAGCUUGCCAAGGGGGCUGCAUUUGAAAUCUUGCUAAGUCGGAAGCUGCUACUUGAGGGAAAACCAUAGGCCGGUUUGAAAACUGUGAAACACCAACUGCAUGCAUGUGUUGAGGUACAAGUGCCUGAAAUGGGAAAUUGUUCUUCUCUGCCUGGAAAGGCAUUCCACCAGCAGGAAACUCAGCCCUGAUUCUUGAAAGAUGCUGCUGGUACUCUCGGGUCGGGUUGUACAGUGACUCUGCAGAGAUCUGGUUUUUGGGUGAACUAGAACUUUCAGGUCCUUGUUUAAACCCUGCAGCUCCUACAGACAUCCAUGCACGGGCAGCUGCUGCUGAGGCAUUACUUAAGUCUUCUCUCCAUCCAGGUGGAACUGAUGGAGUUACUGGUGGAGUUUCGGCCGGGGAAUGAUUGGAUGAACUUGAAGCCUGCUGUUUUUGUGCCUUCUCAGCUAACAUCUUCAUCAGCUGAACUGGGUCGCUAAGACUCUGCUCUUGCCCAUGGGUAACAAAGGGAGCCGAUCUGGCUGUUUGAGUUGAUGUACUUUCAGAUGAUGGUGCAGUCAUCCGUCUAUUGAAACUAUUAUUCCUGACUUUGCCAUUAGGUAACUCUCCAAUAACAACUCCAUUAGCAUCUGGCUGCUUGAAAGGCAUAGACGUUAAAAUGUUAAUGUUGCUUGGUAUCAUCUCUCUAGGUUUAGAAAUAGCAGCAGGAGCACUACUUGUAAGCUUCGAAACUAGACUGGCAUUGUUCAGAUCGCUUGCGGGUAAAGAGUUCAACUCCACUUGUUUCAAACCCUUAUUCUCAGAUUUGCCAAUGUUCCUUGUUUGGACAUUCGGUUGUUGAUGAAUGAGAUUGAUAGAAGCAUUCGGUUGUUGAUGAGUGAGAUUGAUAGAAGCAUUUGAUUGUUGAUGAGUGAGAUUGAUAGAAGCAUUCGGUCUUACUCCAGCAGAACCAAAGAAAGAUGGUUUUGCUUCUGAUGUGAUCCCACAGCUAGGGCGAACUGAAGGCUGUUUCCCCUCAAACAACGAUGGUUUUCCUUCUGAUGUGAGCCCACAACCAGGGCGAACUGAAGGCUGUUUCCCUUCAAACAUCGGUUGAUUUACAGGAUGUUCAAAGGUGGACUCUACAUUCUUACCAUUUUUGCCUACCUCUGUCAGUUUAGUAGUAGACAGCAGCUUUGUUGCCAGACUAGGUUGCUCUUUCUGGACACGGUUAUCAAGCAUCAAUACUGGGGUUGGAAGUGGUUCAUACUCUCCAACCCAACCUCGACCAUAUUUACAGCCCGAUGGCAGUGCCUGUUGAAUCUUCUGGGAAGCUAUUCGCCAAGCAGUAGGUCCUAGAGUUGCAGCAUAACGAGCCAAACUCCUGGCAUAGGAAUAUUCAGCUUGAAGUCCAACCUGUUGCCAAAAAUAAUACAACAUUAAAUGCAUUGAACAAGAAAAGAAAGCUAAAGUUAUUCAAGGAUUAAAUUUCACUCCUGAUACAUACAGUAACUAACUGCUUAAGUUCACUCUCAAAUGUCGUAAAUACUGAAUCAGAUCUAGUAACUGGUAGAUUAGACAUGUUAUAAGUAGCACGACGUUCAUAUUCUUGCACAGUUGAUUUCCUUCCCAUCUUGGAGAGAAGGCCUUUCCCUGAAACAAUAAAAUAAUAAAAUCAAACAAAAAUGGUCAGAUGUUUCAUUAAGAUCCUAAUUUGGAAGAAUGCAAAAAAUAAAACAUUGAAGUCACAGUAUAACAGAUCAGAUGGAGAGCUUGAUCUCUUCUCGGAUACCUGAUAUGAAGUCUUCUGCUUUCUCUUGAUUUGCAUCAAUAAAGAAAGAACUUCCCAAAAGACCAUCAAUGUUGCCAGGCCUUUCACAGAGGAUACCUUGCAUUGGAUGGGAAAUUGGAUGGGAAAUUGGCAGUACAUCUCCAGUAGUAGCAAGAGUCGCACCAGAGCAGAAAUCAGAGCCAACAGGUUCCUGUGAAGUAUAACCAAGUGGCCUUUUGGCCAGCUUCUUACCUAAGGAAUUGGAUCCUGUUUUUUGUUCAGAUUUCAGCUCACUCUGAGAGCGUUCCAAGUUGAUCCUUAACUUCUCAAACUUCUUUCUAGCUAGUUCUUGUAUUGAGCGUGCCUGCAACAAAUACAGGGAUCAUUAAGCAAGCACAACCAAAUGGUUAGUUGCCAUUAUAUUCAAGCAAAUCGAAAGAAAAUAAUCAUCUUCCUACCUGUUUGUGGUAUAUAGUAUCUGACGAAUUGUACUGCAUUGCAUUUGAACAAAUCAAAAAUACAUCACUCUGCAUUCAACAAUGCAUUCAAAUGUCAGUAAAAUAAUUUGUUUUUAAUGCACCACUUGGUCAGGAAAGUGCUAUCUAUGUGCAGUUUAAAAUUGAUUCAGACGAUAAAGCAAACAAAGAUCGGGAUUUUAAUGAAAUAAAGGGAUCCUUAUUAACGUAACAAUUUUGUAAUUAACAGAUAUCAUUGUCUUCUCCUGCAUCCCUUUCAUCUAAAAGACGGUCCAAUAUAUCCCUAAUGCCUAUCAACGGUCAACCUCUAGAAAUUGCAGUCCUCUGUGGCCUUACUGGGCAUAAAAUUGUUUUUUUUUGAGAUUUGAGUGAAGAUUGAUGGCAAGCCAUGCAUCAUAAGGUAUAUCAUAUCGGCGUUGCCUUUGCUUUCCUAGUAAAUCAAGAUUUGCAACCUAAAAUCAUCUAUGUCAAGCACAUCUGUUCAUGCAUUACAAGUUUAUAACAACCAGAAUAAGAAUAACACUAACGAUUCACAAAGCAUGGAGGAAAACCAGUAACAAAGAAGGCCAUUAAACCUAAUUUAAACAAAUGAAUAGACAUCAUUUUUUGUAUGCAAAUGUCUGGUCUGCUCGUAACUUAAUUUAAGCAAAAUCAUAAAAGUCAACGACAGUCAACAGCCAAACCUUUUACACCAGGUAGAGUUAGAUUCAAAGAUUUAUGGAUGUCAUAGAGUUCUAUCAUAUGCAUUAUGUCCAAAGAUACAGUUUAUCUCUAAAUUUCUCUUGAUGAUUUAGUCUAUAGUUUUUUUAUCUCUAUCUACCUUAUAAUUAUUGGAUUAUAUCUACCAUCUGGCCGGCUCUCUUUACUGGUGUUUCUACAUAUUUUCUCCAUCAUACCCAAACCACCUAAGACAAGAUUCUACCAUCUCUAAAAUGGGGACUACCCUAAUUAUCUCUAUAAUGAUUGUAUUUUGUAUCCUGUUUUGCCUAGUGUUUAAGCAAGAUCAUACCAUGAGGGUGAAACUGCAAUAUUACCACCAAGUUAAGAAGACUAUCAUUUAUGAUUUAUCAAUGCCAAAAUAGACAAGUUAUCAGACAAAAAAAAAAAAAAUACUUUCUUUACACCUUUGAUGUCAAUGACUUCGACAAAUCCUAAUCUAUCGUUGGAUUCAACAAAAACAAGAAGCAUAGACAAAAUAGAAUACCAGUAUAAUCAUUUUGCCAAAACAAUCAAAAUCUCAAAAAGAAAAUAAAUCUGCACUGCCUAUAUCAACUACGAACGGUCAAUAGAUUUUAACACACCUCGAAUUGUUCCAAUGUAGUAUAAGAUCCAUUUGCCAACUUCUUCCGCACGGUGGCAAAGUCCAUGGGAUUAUCAAUGACAUCAUGAUAAUCAGGAAGCUGCAACGAGGAAAAGAACUGAAUUUCCAACGCAGAUUGCAUUCAAAUAUCAAGAUAAAUAAUUUACGGAAAGAAAAAUCCACACCUCUUCCGGAUCAACUGGCUCAGCAUACACACCAUAUGUGUCCUUCCUGCCAUCAUCCAAGUUAAGAAAACAAACAACAUAAAACACUUCAUCAUCAUCAAAAAUACAAAAGAGCAGAAAACAGGAAUAAAAAAAAACCACUUACUUUUGAAGCUUGUCAAGGAUCAAUUCAAGGGUCCUCUUAUCUGGCAACGGCAACGGAAUCCCGGACAGAGCCUUCAAAGGGGUUCCUAACAGUGGAGACAAAAAAGCAAGAUGAGAAGCUCAAUUACCAAGGCGUUUAAUAAAAAAAUCAUAAGUGCAUGUUUGAUAUCACGAUGGUCUGCCGAAAUCACGAUGAUAGUGCCAAACUCACCGUGAAUCCAACCGUGCACCGUAAAAAGUGAGAAAUUUAAGAAUUACAAAAGAAACAACAAAUCAGAAACACAAACCUGUAACAGAGUGGAGCCCUUUAGAAUCAUCCACUUUUAUACCCUUUACCUGUCACAAGAAAAACCACACACACCAAGAAACACAAACACACAAUUAAUAAUGUUAAUCUAAAACCGUUAAAAAAGAAAAGACUAACAAAGAGUGCGAUGCGAUUAAGACAGGAACAGAGACAGAACAACAAUGCGUAGUUUAAGGUUAUAGUUACAGACACAUAACCAUAGAUAUAGUUAUAAAUAGAUAUGGAGAGAGAAAACGAAAGCGUAAUCAAAGAAACUCAACAUGUGUGUGUGUGUUAGUUUUUGACAGUUGACCCGUUAGUUAUCUCUCCCCAAAAUCCCGACACACAGACAGAGAGGGUGAAAGAUAGAGAGAGAAAAACCUAGAGAGAGAAAGAAGAUAUAAAUUGAAUAAUGGACCAAUUGGUAUCAUUCAUUCAUCUCCCAACAAAAAAAAUCUCAGUGAUUUUCGCUGACAUGGACACAAACACAUACACACGCUUUCUUCCUUAAACCCCACACAACCCAACCACACAAAUCCAAAACCAAAUGCAUUUUCAUUUUCACUAUUUACUUUUCAUUUUUCAAUUUUAUUUUCAGUUUCAGCAUAUGAACCACCAACACAGACACCGGACACAAACUGACACAGACACCGGAAGACAGCGACACCGAUAGAUGAAAAUUGAUGCCAGUGAUCCAUUUGAGAAAAUUAAUUAGUUGAAUGUAAUCGCAUGCUGACACCAACAUGUCUUCGAUCAGAAGUGUCAGUGCUUUUCACAUACCUCACCCCUAUCAGCUUCACCUUCUUCUUCAUCAUCUUCAUGUUCUUCAGCAUUUUCAUUAUCUCCUUCAACUAUUUCUUCUUCCUCUUCUCUUUCAUCUUCUUCAUUUUCCUCAUCCUCUUCAUCAUCAUCAACCCUAUCUACACUUUUUCUUCCAUUUUUCCGUUUCUUAAACUCAGGCGCGUGUCCCACACGCGACCUACCGCGACUGGUCUUCAAAUCCUCUUCAUCAUCCUCAUCUUCUUCCUCAUCCACACCCUGGUUCAACUUCUCAACAAGCUUCAACUUCUUCUUCUCUCUCCUCCUCUCAUCUUCAUCUUCUUCUUCCUCCUCAUCCUCAUCAAGAUAAUCAUCAAAGUCAAUGAUAGGAUACCUCACAUUCCGCCGCCGUCGACUCCGUCGUAAGUCAGAUUGAGUCGUCGACGGAGAUUGACCGGAACGGCGAGCUAGAUCUGCUUUAGAAGGUCGUCCUUUCUUCUUCCUCCUCACGAUCUGACCCAUGCUUGAGUUUCUCUCUCUAGAAAUGUGUUUUUCUCUCUCUCUCUAAAACCCUGUUUGGGUUUCUCUCUCUUGCUUUGGGUUGGGUUCCAUUAAUUUUUUGAGUGUGAGUGAGUGGGUGUGUUUUGGCUUUUUUUGUGACCGAGCCUCGGUUUCUAGACACGGACCUCAGGUUCGGAUCAGGUUGAGCUUUUCAUGACUCUCACUCUUUUCUUUUUACUCUUUCUUUAUGGCUUAAUUAAUGCUAUCACUUUUCUUUCACAAAAAUGGCUUAAUGCUUUUUUUCUUUAUAAAAAAAAUGGCUUAACAUUUUAUUUAUACAAAUCUAAAGUUAGUGUCUAGUUCAAGGAAUGAAAAGAAGACAAAACUAUUUACAAAAAUUUAUAUUUACUUUGCUCUAAAGGCUCGAAAUUGGAAUAACGAUUGUAUUUGAUCUCUAACAUAAAUUAAUGGUUUUUUCUAGAUUACCUUUGAAAAAUGGUGGGUAAUUUACCCACCAACCAAUGAAAAUGAGCAAUUUGUUGGUGGGAUCAAGAUAGUUCAUGGAUACCGGUGCUUAUGUGGCUAAUGUGUAUUGGUUGGGGUAAAAUUUUUUUUUUUGAACAAAUCAAAAUGAAAUAUAUUGCUCAAAAGAAGAGUGAUUCACCCCGCAUAAGGUGUGCUAAAACGAUGAAUCACUCAAAGUCUGAUACAAAAACUAGGUGACUGACACAAACCCAAGUCAUCAACAACUAAAAAUAAAAAAAUUAGGCAGCCCCUAUACAAAGAAGUGGGUGCCUCCACCAAUCAUGAAAAUCAAAUGCCAAAGUUACAGAAUUUGACGAGAGCCAUAAAAAAGAAUUCAGCUUCACCUUUUCGACAAUAUUGUAAGGAUCAAUUACUGUAUCUUUGAAUAAGCAGUUAUUUCUCUCCUUCCAUAUUGCACAUACACAGGCAAGCCAAAUAACCUUAAGAUAAAAAUAUGAAGCUCGUGGCAUACCCACCAAAUGAGUAAACUGAAAGUAGUGAACCGCAACCGAACCUGGAAGAACAUAAGAAAUACCAAUCCAGUGACAUAAAAAAUACCAAACUUUUCCAAACAAUUCACAACCUAAAACAAGAUGCUCCGCCGUCUCAAUGAGACCACAUCCUCCAACACACAAAGUGUCAGAAGCUUGAAGAACAUGUCGACGCGCCAAAUUUGACCUUGUCGGAAUUCUAUCUUUCAAUAAACGCCAUGCGAAAAGAGACACUUUUGUAGGAACCAAUUUAUGCCACACAUAUGUGUUUGUAGCAACCGCAUCCGGAUCCUCUAAAGAUGUUAGGAAACGGUAAGUCCCACUAACCGAAUAUCCGUGAAUAGGAUCAAGCAACCAACACCAGUUGUCCUGUGAAUUAACCUGCAAAAUAAUGUUAUGCAAUAAAUUCACACACUCCCUCACACUAUCCUCCUCCCAAGCAAACAACUGUCGUCGCCAUCUCCACCCACCUCCGCCUUCCCCACCAUUCUUCCAUGGAUACCCUAGUUGUCACCUAAAUUAAUAUGUCAAUUAUUCAAUUCACAUAAAAUGUCAAUUGUUUGUUAUAAUAAGAUAAGGAUUUGCUCCAAAAAAAAAAAGAUAAGGAUAAAUAAAAGUAUUUGAUUAAAUUUUUUGAAAUAAAAAAUGUUUUUUUAAUUCAAAAUAAAAUAAUGUUUAGUUUGUGAUUGAACAUGCAGUGAUAUAAAUUGAUUUAAAUGAAUUGAUUUUAUAAAAUUAAUUUUAGUUAAAAGUGAUUAGAAUAAAAAUGAUUUAUGUGUUCAUAUAUUCAUGUAGAAAAUCAAAAGCUACAAAUUGAAACUAAAGACACUUAAUAUUAAUAUAUGUUAUUAUUUUUGUUUGAAUCGGUUAUCAUAGGUGUAUAACUACAACAUUAAUCAUUCGAGUAAAGUAGAACGUACUAGAUGACAAAGUUCUCCAUCAAGAUAUUUAACACCAAUGUAUUUACAUAAUUAGAUUUGAACAUUGGGGUUUUAUUUAACUCUGGAUUUUUGGGUCUUUGUUAUUGGAAUCAAAUUAGAAUAAUAUGUUAGUGUAUAAUUAUUUUACAUAUACAUUUGAUAAUUUGUUGUAACGUUAAUUAACGAAUAUGAAAUCACAUAAGUGGUCAUAUUCUUUAAUUAAUAUGACGACGCAUUAUUUGAUACAUGUAUGAAAUAACUCACUUACAUAUUAUACUAAUUAAAUUUAUAUUAAUAUAUUAUAUGACGAUAAAAUAAAUAUAAUAUGUCGAUAUUAAAUUCAAAUUUUGGGACUUGAGUAUGUCGGCGUGAAACAUGAUCAAUGAAUGAAAAUGACGGCGUUUUGUGCUGCUUGUUGCCCGAAACUCCCUUUGCGUGUCCCUUUGCCUGAUGCGGUGCUGCCCACAUCUUCCAUCAUUUUUACGUUUCUUCACACAAUUGCAAAACGUUACCUUCACCGGCUCACACUUGUGGCACGUAAAACCCACCUUCGCUUAAACAUCAACAUGGUACUUUUUAUUUUUGGUAAUUCAACCUACCAUACUUUUUUUUUAGGAAUCAACUUACCAUACUUAAUUUCAGUCAAAAAAAAGAAAAAUCAGACAUAAAUGCAUAAUUUGCAUGUAGGGAAAAUACACUAAAAUAAAAUGUAGAUUUCAUUUUUUUAUUGAUAUGGUGAAAAUUAACGAAAAGAUGUGUUGAGAUUCUUAUUCUAAUUUGUGAUGAUGAUAAAGUUAAUGAAGUUCAAGUUUUAAUUUUUUUCUUCAUUUGAAUUUUGCAUUUUUAAUUAAUUUAUGGUAUAUAUUUAUGUAUUAUAUAUGAUUUCAUUUGAACUUUGAAUUUUUAAUUGAUUUAUGGUAUAUAUCUUGUGUUUUAAUUUUGCAUUAAUUUGAAUUUGUGCAUUAUUAUAUUAUUAAAUUUCACCUUUUACAAUAUUAUCUUUGAUCCGUUGAAAAUACUUUUGAAUUAUAUUAUUAUAUAUGAUUUUUCUAUUUUAUCAAAAGAAAAAAGUUAAAUUACAACGGAAGUCCUUUUAAGUCAUUGAAUGAAAAAAAACACCACAAAAUUGAAUGAAUGGUUAUAUUUAGACACCUUUAAUUUUUCAACACACAUUCGUUAUAUUGUUUCCUAUGUAUAUCUUUAUUCAAAUCACAUCACAAACCUAUCACUUUACUUUCUUAAUUUUUUUUCUUUAAAGUGUAGACAAAAAAAAAAAAGGUAUCCAUAGGUCAAUUUUCAUAUUGAAUAACAUAGUGUUAAACCUUAAUUGAAAAAGUACUAUAAACCGAUCAAUUUAAGAUUUCUUUCCAUAUGCUCUCAGAACAUUCACAGUCAAGAAACAACUGCUAUAUGGUUACUCAUAUCUCACAACCACCUGAGUUUGGUAUUCAAAAUCUCCAGGUGAAUGGAGACACUCGUGUUGACUUAUUCCAAAUGAUGCAUUGGAUUAGUUAAUCACCAUUUGAUCCCAAAAUAUAUGUACUAAAAAACAUGUAUAUGUUCCGUUCACGGAAUAUUGAUUAUCAUGGUCAAGCUUCCAAACUCAUUUGUUGGAAAUAUUAUCAUGUACGUAAUAAAAUAUCCAAAGAACAAUGUAAUAAUGAUUCAAACUCCAAAACAAGUAAACUCACUAUGUGUCCACAGUUAUAAAUUUAAUAUGAACAAAUUGCAUGUAUCACGAUUUCAUCCUCACCGUCAAAAACUUACGUGUGUUAAUCAUUUUUGCGCUCCUUUAACUUUUAUCUUUGUUUUAAAUAACAUUAAUGGUUGUGAUGAUUAAUUUUAAGAACAUGCAUGGCGAUAUGAUCCUGUGAAAAAUUGUAUUUAGGUGAUUAAUUUUUUCAAUAUGCUAAUACUAUAUUAUGGAAUAGUAUACUAGGUUUUCUUCCUUCACAUACUUCACCUUUUCUUCCAUCUCUUCCAUCACCUUUUCUUCCAUCUAAUAAUGGAGUGUCAAAACUUAUGUCUCAUUAUUUGCAGAAUUGAGUUUUGUCACUGCCACAUGAUUCUUGAGGCUUGCCUAAGAAUUUUGAUUGGAGGGAUGUACAUGGAGAGUUAACUCCGGUAUGAGAUCAAAAACAAUGCAGUUAGUGUUUUUGUUUUCAUUCUUUUUGUGAAAGAAAGAUACUGAUUAGUGUUUGUAUGAAUUCUAACUAUAUUGUUCUAACUAUAAAAAAUGUGGUUAGUGUAUUUGUUUUCAUUCUUUUUGCAAAAGAAAGAUACUAAUUAGUGUUUGUAUGAAUUCUAAUUAUACUCUUCUAACUAUAUUGUUACACAUCUUGUUCCGUAUUCCUCAUACAUAAGUUUUACAUUUUUAAAAACAUGCAGAAAUCAAGUUGUGUUGAAUAUUAGUAUAGAUAAAAAAGACUCAAAAUAUACGAAUCAACUCACUUUGAGAGUUGCUAAAAGAAAAUGUUGUUUCUUGAGAUAUCAAUUACAUAUGGAGAAACUAACAUAUUUAGACCUAUAAAAUAUGUCGUAAUUACAAAAUGUACAAAACUUAUGUUUUAUAAAAUAAUAAGUUAGAUACAUUUGAAGUUACUUACAACUCGAAUGAGAAACUAUUUAUUUUUUUUUAAAUACCUCAUACAUAAGUUUUACGUUUUUAAAAACAUGGAGAAAUCAAGUUAUGUUGAGUGUUAGUAGAGAUAAAACAAAUACUCAAAAUAUACAAAUCAACUCCCUUGAGAGUUGGUAAAAGAAAAAGUUGUUUCUUGAGAAAUCAAUUACAUGGAGAAACUAACAAAUUUAUACUUUUAAAAAAUGUCGUAAUUAUAAAAAGUACAAAACUUAUGUGCAUUUUCUUAUGUGUUUUUUUGUGCCUAUAAGAAAUUUUGAGAAAAUUAUAGAUUUAAGACAUCAUUGAUAGUUAUGAAUAUUAUAUGUGAAGCAAGAUGAAGCAACAAGCCUACAAAACAAAAGACAUGUGAAUGAAAGAAGUAAAUGUGAUUUCAUUAGGAGAUUUUACACACCACACAUAUCACACACAAUAACCAGUUUAAGAUAAAAAAAAUAAAAUAAAAAGGUGUAAAUAAUAAUAAACACUAAAAAUUGAAUAAUUGACAAACUGAAGACUUAAAAAUGAUAAUAAAAAUACAAGAGCAUCUCCAAAUGGAGUGUGAAAGAAUUUUUCAUAAAUUUGUGCCUUAAUUUUUCAUUCCAUUAGAGGAACUUGAUGAAGUGAGUAUCAUAAAAAUUGUUAACACAUCUUAAAUAAAAUAAGGUAUUCUACAAUUCUACCCCAAUUUGUAUACAAAAUUCACCUUAAAAAGUAACAAUUGUGAGAAAAUUAGAUUAGAGGAAAAAUAAUUUAAAUCUUAAAUGAAAAAUUGAGAGAAGAGAAGGAAUAAACAUUGAAAAUGAAAUGAAAGUAAUAACAGUUUGAAGGGCAAAUAUCACAUGUAGUCCUUUAAAUUAGAUGUUUAUGAUAAAUUAAUUUUUUUUUUGAACAAGCUAAAGAAUAAGUUAAGAAACCACAUUCUACCCUACACAAGAAGUGCCUAGAAAGAACAUCAAAAGUUAAUUGCAAAGUCACCACAAAGAAUAUGUCUAAGGAAUAGAGAGAAUAAAAGGAGAAAAGCUACGUAGCGAGUAGCGAGGCCCAUGCACAAUAGGGAUUAAGCCACCAAACAUAGUAAUCAAAAGCAAAAGUAGAAUCUUUUGCCUUGAACGCCAAUAAAAUUGCAACUUAAUUUUAUCUAACAAUUGGGGUAGUUUAGCUUCUUUGUUGUCGAAAAUUCUUCUAUUUCCUUUCCUUCCAUAUUAUCCAAACACAAAACAACCAAAUCAUAUGCAUAAAAGACUUAGAAGAUCUAUGAAUUCCACCUGUCUAUGAAUUCCAAACACAAAACAACCAAAUAAUUGAUUUUUUUUUUUGGUCAAUGCAAAUAACCGAUUUAAUUGCAUAUUAUAUAAAGUUUUUUUUUUUUUUUCCGAACAUAUGUAAAAGCUUUUACUUUGUGCUUAAGGUAGCUUAUAAUUAUUACUACAAUAUACUGCAUAGUAUUUCGAUGUGUGCCCCAUGAUUUCGAUAUUAUAUAUACACUUUUGUGAAUGCUUUCACUUUCAAUAAACUAACUAAUUAAUUGCAUAUGGCUGUCACGUGAUUAUCAGCUACAUAAAAAUUAAGAUCAUAAAGCUUACAAAAUAUAAAAAAAUAGACUGUCCUAGUUGGAUCAUUAAAAUUUUGCUCCAAAACACAAAUUAAUCUUACUUUUGACAAUGACAACAUUUGUAUAGACCAACAUUAAAAAAUGUUAUAAAAAAAUAACAUUAAAAUAAAAAAUAAAAAAUAUAAGUGGGUGGAGAAUAUAUUCUGGAGUGCUCUCUUUGCAUACUUUGUUUCACUAAACCACUAGAUCAAAUCUCUUCUUUUCACACGCAAAUUGACGUGUACCACUCAUUGAUAAAGUUUUGGAAUUGCUUUAAAUCCAAAAACAAGUUCAAUUAAGCAAUCACAUAGUAAUAUACAAGAUGGGUUUCAAAGCUUUACUUGUGUGUUCCUUUGUACUAUUUUUCUAUAGCUAUGGUUUCUCAAUGGCUCAAAUGGUUCCAGCUGUUUAUGUUUUUGGAGACUCACUUGUAGAUGUUGGAAACAAUAAUUACUUGACUCUAUCUAUUGCCAAGGCAAAUCAUCGUCACUAUGGUAUUGAUUUUCUUAAUCACAAACCAACUGGGAGAUUUAGCAAUGGCAAAAAUGCUGCUGAUUUUAUUGGUAUGAUUCACAAUUCAAUUGAUUCAACUAGCUUUUCAAAUAUAUAGUCAUGUGUUGAUUAUUACAUAUAUGAUAUCUUUGAUGAUAGCAAUCUUGUUAUCGUUGAAAUUCCAAAAUCAUCAAAUCAUAUUUACUACGGUCUCAUUAGCCUCUAUUAGUGAUCAAAUAGCUAAAAUAUUAUAUCUAUUUUUUUUAUAUACUUUUGAAAAUAUAAAUUUAUCAUGUUGUAACUUGCUAACUAAUCUACUCAUUUAAAACUAAAUAACAUGUACAAGUAUGUUAGUAAUAUCCAAUAAUAUGUGUGUCUAUCAGAUAUUAUACUUGUUUUUUAAUAUUAUUCUUUUAAUUUAAAAAAUAAUUUUUGCGUCUAUUGGAUAGAUAUUUCAUGGGGUCAAAAUAAGCCAUAUUUCUUUUUUGCAAUUUUUUUCUUCAAAUAAACUCUUGUGAUCGACUUUGAUUUGGUAUACUGAGAGUGGAAAAAACAUACUGUACUUAAUUGCAUGGGAUUCAGAAAUAGAUGGAAUUGCUCAACAAACUUGAGAAAACUUAAAAAACUUUAUUUCCUAUUGCAAAAACAUAAAAAGAUUUUUUUUCUUCUUCUAUAAAACACGAUAUGACCAAAAUAAAAACAAUAGAAAUAUAAGUACAUGCAUACAUACAUGUAAAGUUCAAGUGUUAAUGUCAUUAUUAACUUCUGAUUAAUUUAAGUUCAUUUAACAAAAAAUCUGAUUAUUUUAUUGAGGUAUGGACACUAGUAAAUUAUUAUAGACACGUGUACUGACAAUAGAGUUUCCAAUUCAUUCUAUUCGUCUUUUUCUUAUGUUAAUCGGUUCUAUUUGUCUCAAACGAAAAUAUAUACGAUUAUAUUCCAAAAAGAAAAAUUGUAUAUGAUUAAUUUGUUGGGUUGCAGGUGAGAAAUUGGGUUUGGCAACUUCACCACCUUACCUCUCCUUAAUAUCAAAGGGUAACAAAAAUGAAAAUAAUGCAUCCUUCAUAAAUGGUGUUAGCUUUGCUUCCGCAGGUGCUGGAAUAUUUGAUGGUACAGAUGAACGCUAUGUAAGUCACCAAUUUUAUAUUCUUUUGAAUGAAGAAUAAUAUCGUUCUCAUUUUGUUCAACCGAAUCAAUUAUCAAUCUGAUUUAGUUAGGACAAAUAAUAUCCUAAAUAAUCUUUUUUGUCAAAAAAAAUAAAAUCCUAAAUAGUCUUUGACAUUUUUAUUUUUAUUUAAUAAAUUAGCUUUUAUGUUAUAAUAAAUCGUUUAGAUCGUGAGAAAAUUAUGAAGGAUUAAAUUGGAUUUUUGAUAUUUCUUGUAGUAGCAAAUUUCAUUUUAAUUUUCAUAUAUUUUUUUCAUAUUUUUUGUACUUAUAUAUAAUAUCCCAAAUAGAGGUGGGCCCAUAAGUUAGGUUUGCAAGACAAAGUCAAAGAUUGUUGUUUAUCUCUAGAGGAUGUGGGCCCUUAUGAUAGUGACAUGGAUCACUUUACGCCAGCACAAAAAAAUUAAAAGAAAAUGAAAAAAAUGUUGGUAGGUAUGCGGUGAGCGUGGAUCGAACACGCGACCUUCAGAUCUUCAGUCUGACGCUCUCCCAACUGAGCUAUCCCCGCUUGAUGGUAAUUUUACAUUCUUAAUAUUUUUAUUUGUAGAGACAAUCGUUACCGUUGACAAAGCAAGUGAACUAUUACACAAACGUGUAUGAGGAACUAAUAAGAGAAGUGGGAGCAAGUGCUUUACAGAAACAUCUCUCAAAAUCAAUUUUUGCUGUUGUGAUUGGAAACAAUGAUCUCUUUGGAUAUUUUGAGUCAUCAGAACUUCGUAAGAAAAAUACCCCACAACAGUAUGUUGAUUCCAUGCUUUUCUCACUCAAACUGCAACUACAGGUAACAACACAUAAAUCAUCAUCAUGCUAAUUAUUUAGUUACAUUGUAUGUAAAAAUAGUGCAUUUAAUCUCUUAACAAGGAACAUUUACUUUUAGUUAUACAGUUUUUCCUUAAGUUCCUGUUACACUUACACAUGUCGUACCAAUACUUUAAAUUAAAAGCGUGUUCAUUGUCAUACACAUGUUAAUAUCAAUACUAACACGAUACGACACAUGUAAUUACUAUUUCCAUUUUUAAUGUAUAACUGGUGUUGACAUAUUAGUGCUGUGUCUAAUCAUCGUGUCCGUGCCAGUGAUUGAUAUGUUGUAAUUUAUUUACAUGACAAGGAUGCCUAACAUGCAACAAUCUCAAAAGAGUCCAACUUCAAAUCCGUUAAAGUGGUCCGACGCACAUCAUUUCCUAGUAUAUUUUUUUGACUCAUAAAUUCCUAUUAACUUAUGUAUAUAAGUAAAUUCAUCACUCUCAUCAAAUAGGCUAUAAGUUUACUGUAAUUCGUUUCAUGGCCACCUUUAUUAAUGGUGUACAUAUAGUUGAGCCAUAUCAUUUACCAGCCUAUUAUAUUCUGUUAUGCUUGCUUAGAGGAUACAUUCUUAUUUAUGUUUUUAAUUUUUGCAGCGAUUAUAUGAUAAUGGUGGGCGUAAAUUUGAGAUUGCGGGAGUCGGAGCACUUGGAUGUUGCCCUAUGUUCAGGCUCAAGAACCAAACGGAAUGUGUUGUAGAAACCAAUUAUUGGUCUGUUCAAUAUAACAAAGGUCUUCAAUCCAUGUUGAAGGAAUGGCAAUCAGAGAAUCAAGGCAUAAUCUACUCUUACUUCGACACUUACGUCGCCAUGAACGACCUCAUUCAAAAUCCAGCUUCCUAUGGUAUUACUUACUAUUUGCUUAGUCUCCAAAAUCUCUCCGUGACACCGUGAUUUUGUAGAAGUUAUAGAGUCUAACUUUGACUAAAAUCACAGUGACUCACCUGAUUUGGUAAUCAUCACAUCCAAUUCAAACAUGCACUAAUUUAUACUAAUUAGCUUAGACAUAAUCAAUUCAUUAUGCCAUAGGACAAAAUGUAAUAAUUGAUCAUACAUGCUAGUUUUAUUUAAUUGUAAGGUUUUGUGAAAUUUGGUGCUAAAAUGAGUUUAUGAAUCCAUUUCAGGAUUUACAGAUGUUAAAGCUGCUUGUUGUGGACUAGGAGAGCUAAAUGCCAGGGCUCCUUGCCUGCCUGUGUCACAUCUUUGUCCCAACAGACAAGACCACAUUUUCUGGGAUCAAUUUCAUCCUACAGAGGCAGCUUCGCGUAUAUUUGUGGACAAAAUUUUCGAUGGUUCUUCAACUUACACUUCUCCUAUUAACAUGAGACAGCUAGUAGCAGCCUGAAGUUGGCUAUAGACGUGGAAAUAGGUCAAGCGAACUGACAGAUGCUUACAACCUAACCUACGUCAGGCCAUUGGCAAUCAAUUUUUCACUUCAAAUGAUAUUUUUUUUGUACAACCAAAGGGAAAUUGUAGACUCUUCGACAAACUAUAGCGUGUUUCUGACAUUCAUCUUCUCUUGCAAAUACAUUAGGAUGAUAAGGCAAUUCAAAUGCUUUUACUCUGACUUUUGCUCUGUGAUUUGAAAGAGUUCAAAAAAUAUCAAAUUCCAUCCCACAAGAGCAAUCUUUAGCAACACAUUUCUCAAAAAAUUUAAUGAUUCCUCAAAAUGGCAUUACUUGCCCAGAAAAUAAUCAAAGAUUUUACCAAAUGCCCUUAUGUAUCCCAUGUCCUAGUGUCUUAGUUUUCGAAAGAGAUUUUGUUUUUUGAAAAAAAAUUCAAAGGAGAUUUAUCUGGAGCAUUUUCAUCUUUUUUUCUCUCUUCGUCAAAGGACUAGUACACUCAUUGACCGUCUCCUCAUCAUCAAGAGUCUCCACACGGCUUGGAGGAGUCUCCGAAUUCAUCUCUUGACCUUCAACAUUCUCAUGCACAUUCCCACAUUUCGACAAGGCGGUGAUGAGAAAUAUUGAGCUUCAGAGUGAACAUCGUGAUCCUCUUUCUCCUCCUCACCAUCAUUACUUGUAAAAUUACCUUGUCACUAGUAAUAAUUGCAUACAAAAACAAAAUUAUAGUGAAAUGAUAACUAAGUACUUAAUAAAAAAUUAUAAACUACGAAUAGAAAAACAUUGCUAAUGAUUGUUCAUCUGAACCAUUGUUGGAUACAUUAAUUUCAUUAUGUUCCUCCCUCUGCUCCUCCUCCAAUAUAGGCUGUAGAGACUUUAAAUCAACUGGCGGUGAAUUUUCUGAAGGAAAAACAAAUUAUAAUAAAAUAACCAAGCAAUUCAGAAAGUCAUAGAUAAAUAGAUAACUUUAACAAAUAAGGAAUUAUAAAUUAAUAGAAAUCGUUAUACCAAAACAAGCUAGUUAUUGAAAUAAAAAUAAUAAUCAUUAAGCAAAACAACACAUGGUCCAUCAACACAAACCAUGCACUUUAACAUUAUUAAUUUAAGGGUCUAAAACGAUACUACCUCCGUCCCUAAUUAUAAGAUCCUUUUGAGAAUUUUUUUUGUCCUUUUUUAUAAGACCCCUUUUCUAUUUCCAACUACAUUAAUUAUUUCUUUACAUACAUGCCCCUAUUUAUUAUACAUCUUUUUCUUCAAUCAGCAAUAAAUAGAAUGUUGAAAACAUAAGCCAACUCUCUUUCUUAAAGGAUAAAAUUGUAAAAACAAUAGUAAUUACAAACAUAUUUAAUACAAAUAUCUACUAUAUUAAUUCCCGUUAUUUUUUCAAAAGGCCCUGAUAAUUAGGGACGGAGGUAGUAACUUUUUUAUAAAAAUUUGUGUAUUUAAUACAUUGGAAUUUGGAAGUUGAACUAUUUGACCUUUUUAAAUAAUAACUUCCUAAUUUAGAAUGUCUAAAAAGUAUUCGAGGGCACCCAUUAUUGAUCGUUUUUACCUACACCAGGCUGAGAGUGAGGAGCCUCUGAUCUCAUCUCUUGAUCUUCAACAUUCUCAUGCACAUCCUCCACAUUUCUUCAAGUUGAAUCAUAGUUACCAUGGUUGAAAAUUUCAUUUACUUCAGUUGUCAAUCCUAAAGCCAAUGAUUGAGUAACUAUCAACCGAAUCAAAGUGGUUCAAUUGGUCUUUGUUUGUUUUGCUUAUAUCAAUUGAUAACAUCUAUAGUUUGUAUCAUAACAUCAAGUUAACUAUUUUUGUAUGAUAAAUAUCAAUUAGAAACUAUCAAUUCUUUUAGCUGGAAAACCUUAUAGUGUGUUUGGAUGGAGAAAUGUUUUGAGGGAAUUCAACUACUUUGAGUUAAAUUCAAACAAUAGAAUUCACCUUAAAUAGUUGAAUUCCCUCAAAACAUUACAUUCCCUCAAAACAUUCCCCCAUCCAAACACACUCUUAGGAGACCAUUGCAUUCAAGAUAUUCCACAUUUCAGUUGCAGUCGUCAAUUAGAUGAUGGUGGAUGUGAUGUCUUUGGAUAUGGAUUAGAUCUUUAAUUUCCUUUCCUUAAUUGAUUUUAAAAAAGAUUUUAUAGUGUCCGUAAUUCAAAAGAGAAAAGUAAGUCCUCCCCUCCAAAAUCCAUCAAGAAAUACCAUAAAAAACCAAACAUACAAGUUAAUAUAUGAAUCCAAGCAGUAAACAAAAUAGACAGAGGAAAUAAAAAAGUCAAUAAGGAAAGCAUAUAUAUACACUCCUUGUUGAAAACUAUAAGCAAAUGCCUUGGUUAUGAACUUAUGAUGUAUCAGGAAUUGCAGAAUAUAUCCUCGAAAAAAAGGUUCAAGUCACCAUUGUCAACAUCGAAUUUCAACAAUUUCUCCAUAGCGUCCUGCAUGAAACAUGUGUAUGUGAGUAAAUGAUAUCCAAAAUGUAACAAGUAUCUUUAAUUUGACUUUUGAAACUGAAAUGAUACCUUGUAUUCAUCAUCUUGAGCUGAGAUGUUCUCAUUGCAUAACCUCUCAACACAAUUGUUUUUUGAAACAGCGUCCAACACAACUGCUGCUCUUUUUAUAAUUUCGUCUGGCACGCCUGCAUAAAUGAUGCAGCUUGAUGAUCUAUCAGAAACUAUGUGGAAAAAUCGGACUCAACAUAUUCAUCACAUUACUAAAAAGGUAAAGUAAAAUAAAUUAAAGAAUAUACUGUGUUCAGUAUCACACAUACCAGAAAACACAUCCACCUAAUAUGAAUAUGUUUAGUUUCACCUUCAAAGUAAAUUUUAGUCUCUAUUCUGUAUAGAGUUUUGUUGACUGGCCUCUUCUGUACAGAUUUCAUUAAUGAAAUAUACUAGCAACACAUCAGCACACCCUCUCUUAUAAGUUAUAUAACUUAUAUUGGUUUAAAUUUAUGAGUUUAACCAUAUUUAUGCGCAGCCCACAUGAUUUAAUGGAAUUGAUUUAAAUUUCAACCAAUGAGAGAUAGACAUAUAGUGUGUUAAGAAGAGUGCAUUGGAGAAUGUAGCUAACGCUCAUCUUCACCAAUCUGACUUUUGAUCUCUACAACAGUAUCUUUAUUUAUUUGGCUUUUGGUCCUGACAACUAAUACCUUGUUUGUAAUAUUAGAUUAUAUCAAUCCCUCUAGAAUCAAUUCAAGCAUUGCUUAUAGAAAAAUUUCCCUGUAACGUGUGGUUUUAAAUUUGGAGCCUGGUAGAAUAUUAUUAGAAACCUGAUUGUUUAAUCCCUCUAGAAUCAAUUCAAGCAUUGCAUAUAUUUUUUACAAUGAUAUCAUAACAAACAUAGGCAUUCAAGCAUCACCUUUUGUGUGUGUGUGUGUAUAAAUCUAUAUAAAAUGGUAAAUACGUUUUCUAUAACCUUUUUGAUCAGGUAAUAUUAUUUUUAAACAGUAUCUUGUAAAUUACCUGCAAGUAGUGCACAGUGCAGCCCUGCAGGAUUCCCAAAACAACACAUGUCAUUUCCAUCCAUUUUUCAAUUGAUAUACGAUACUAGUAAAGCAAAAGCAUACCAUAGCUAUGAUGCACAUGCCCAGGGACAAGCCUGCAGCAAUAUGAAAGUAAGUUAAUAGCAAAGCUGAAAUCUUCUCAGAUGCAGAACCAUUUUAAUUCCAUACUAAUUUCAAUAGUCUAGAAAGCACAAGGAUGUCAUUGAAUACUACCACUCAUGCACAUAAUAUUAUAUAUUAGGCUAUUAGCUAUCAGGAUGGGAAAAUAUUGAAACAAUGUAUGCUCAAAUAUAUAAAUUCUGGCUUCCAGUUUUCCAUGUCCAGAGUCUUCCAAGAAAAGGUUUGCAUUUUAUUAGGUUAAUAUUGGCCGCGGUGAGCAUAAAAAUUACCUGAUCAAGUAAAGUACAAUAGGGCAAUAGGUUUCUAUCAAAUUCACUGUCAUCAGAUGCCCUUAUGAGGUAAAUAUGAUUCCUAGCAUACUACAUUGCAGAAUCAACAAAAAGAUACCUAUAUAAAAAAACAAUAUCUUCGAUAUGAGUUGAAUCGUCUUCAGGCCUCAGUAUACUCAUUGUGUAGAACUUAAUUUGCUCAGACUGAAAUAAUCCAAUAAAACCAUAUAAACUAUCAUGUAACAAUCAAUUUAGAGUUUUAAAACAUCCAACUCCACCAUAAUGAACAAUUACAAAACCUUGGUCAAAGAACACCCGUGCAAUAAAUCCAUCAGAUGAGUGCACACGAAAACCUACAAAAUUCAUCCAAAAAAUGGCAAUUACAAUCUCUCAUGAGAAAGUGCUUCUUAGUUUACAAAAAGUGAAACAAGUAACCAUAACUACUUAUAUUCAUUUACAAUUUCUCGAUUUAUACAGUUAAAAUUUAAUGAAUAACUUGUAAAGAAAAUUUUAUAAAAAUAAUUUAAUAUUGAGUUAAAAAGUAAAACAUAUACGGAAAGUUAUCACAUUUAAAAUUAGAGGACUCAAAAAAGUAAUAAAUGUCAGUAAAACUAUGCAUCUUAAAGGAAAAUAAAUAGAAGUUAAGAGAUUGUCUCCCUUUCAAUAGUCGGUACACUAAUAUUUUUAUAUUGAAAUUAAUUUGAAGUUAGGUGGAUAGUUUGUCCCUAAAGUACAAGUUUGAUAAAAAGAAUGUGUGUGGGAAGAAACAAAUAUGAAUUUCAUACAAAAAAUAAUAAUCAAUAUGUUAAAAAAAAAUCCAUACCAUUUAUAUGAAAUUGUUCUCACAAUGUAUUUACUUUUAAGAUGAACAUAGGGUGGAUCUAUAUCUAAUCAUGCAAAUCUAAUUGAAAAAUGGCUUCCACCAAAGAGGCAAGGGCAGGCCAUAAAAAAGUAUUGAGAAACCGACUGGGCGUGGUCCAUCGCCAAAAUAGCAUAAUUAAAAAUUACAUCAAUUUUCAAAAUUGAAAGAAAAGCUAACAGGAAUUUCAAGAAUAUGUUAAACCUUUGGAGGUUCAUCACACGUGAUGAAGUGAUUUAUGGCCCCGGCAAGCAGACCAAUGCCAUCUGAGAGGAGAUCAAAACAUAUAUGCUAAAAAUUAGUUUCUUAAAUAAGGACAUGUAUUACACAUAGUAGACAUUUCAUCAACAUUGAAGAAACUGACCUUCUGUAAGAGUACCUUUACCAAAUUCAUCCACCAGACACAAAGAUCGUGAAGUAGCAUGCCUGCAGGUGCAGAUUUUCACCACAACAGCCAUAAUCAAAUCUUCUACUGUCACUUCAUUUCUAUCAUAUCUUAAGUUCGCAUAUGAUCUCUAAAUCUCUUUUAAUGAUUUGACUUAUUUUAUUUUUGUUGGCAUGUCUGCAGGUUUUGACUCCAAUAACAACAAUUAAACCUUUUACUAUCAUUACAUUUCUAUCAUGUAUUAACUUGACAUGUAACCUCUAAAUCCCUCUUACUGAUUUGACUUGUAUAUUUUUUGUUUCUCUUUGUCUCUGAGUAUUAGACUAUCCUCCAAAUCAUAUAAGACACUGUGAAAGAAAGGAUUAUACUGCACAGUAGUUCAAAUACUAGGUGAAUAUACAGAUUUAGCCCAUGAUUGCUUUUAAUUCAAUGUAUUACAGCUAUGCUUAUCCGUCUUUUUUUCCGCAUACCUCAGCAUCAUCCCAAUUUGAUGUAGAUCAAUCAUAAACGUUGAUUGUUCUGCUGUCAUAAGCCUGCUUCCUGUCGCACAAAAUAUUCUGCAGUUUUGAUCCCCAAAAAAAUCUGUUAACAUUAUGAUUGAAAUAGUUUAUUUUUAUUUUUUAAAAGAUAGAUUGUAAUUACUAAACAUACAAAGGUGAACUCCUAUCUCAUAAAAGACUUGGGAUACAAGAAAGUCAUACCUAUCUGUCAGCCCAACAGUUGCUGCAUCAGCUGGCACAAAACUACCAAUGUGGGCCAGGAAAACAAUAAUAGCCACCUGGCAAAGGAAAACACUUGGUUAUUGUUUUUUAUCCAUAGAUAAUCAGGGGCAAGGACCAUAGCAUCAUAUAGUAAGGAUCAAGUAUCCAAAAAAUACAUGGAGAAUAGAUUCUGUGUUCAACUACAAGACAUAAAAAUUGUUAGAGUGAAGUACAUAAACAGAGAAUAGAAUGUGUUAUUAAAGGAAAACAAGUAAAAAAGCAAAAUCGACAACCAAAACAGACAAGCUUGCCAAUCUCUGCCUAUCCACCAUCAGAAUUAAACCCCUUUGAGUACCCAUUGGCAAAGCACCAUAGACAGGCCAAGUAAAUAAAGUUAUUUUAAAUUUGUAAAUCCAAAAUAAAAUUGUAAUUGUCCAAAUAAAAUUGCCCUUAUUACUACUCAAACUUCUUUAUUGCAUGCGAAAAUGUCCCGUGCCCAAUGGACAAAUCCAGCUAGCAUAUUCACCAAAUGAUCCGAAGGACUGCGUCCAAUUGGUGUAAUAAUAUUUCAAAAUCAUAGGUAAAAAUACAUAACACUUAUGAUAAAACAGAGAGAUGUGUGACCUGCAAACCAGUAAAAAAUUCUUUAAUUUGUAUUUAUCACUUGUUAAAUUGGUAUAUAGGAGCCAGUAAUUCUUCUGGGAUUUUAUCUAUCAUACUAUGAGAUUUAUAUAGGAUCAGUAAUUUCAGACUGCAAUGGACUUUUCUGUUCCAAGAUUCAUAAACUGUUUGCAAAUGUAGCUUUUAGAGUUGUCAGAUCAGAUGAAUAACAACAACCAGCAUUGAUACACGUAACACUAAAAACAAUAGUUCUGAAACAUUAUUUGAACAUUACAAAUAGAGGUUAAAAAGAAGAUGGCCUGCCUCUUCAACAUUAUUGCUAUUCGAAACAAUAAAUACAAAUGCCAUAGAGAAGAGAAUACAUAUUCUAGGAAUAUAAAGAAUAAUAACUAAACACCUGUUUUAUAUAGAUACUCUUCCCAGAAAAGUUAGGACCAGUAAUGAUGUUAACUCUUCCUGAUAAAAAGAGUAAUUGAACAGGGAUUAAACAGUAAAAUUAUAGCAAUAAGGAUUUCUUGGACAUAAUUUAGCUAAUAUCAGUUAUGAAUAUCUACAUCUAUUUACCAUCAUGAAAAAUCUUAGUAUCGUUAGGAAUAAACGUGUCUACAGUCAUUUCCUGUAAAACAUGCCUACAAACAAAAACAAUUUUUUAUCAUUAAUCAUUUCAAUAGUUAUCCAUUUUCAAGAGGAUUUUUAUGAACCAGAUGCGUCGAACCUUCCAUUUUUUAUAUCGAGCAAGUUUUCUUCGGUCAAUACAGGUCUGACAUAGUUGUUCUGUCGAGCAACCAAAGCCAUCGACAAAAAACUGGAAAGAAAUUAUCAAUGAUGAAAUGUCUGGGAAAGCGCAUGUUAUUAAUAACAAAAGUUUAUCCUACCAGUCCAGUUCAGCCGCAAAAGUUGCCACCUUUGUCAAAUGGGUUGAGAACAAUGAUACAUGCGAAAACAAAUCUCUGGUGAUCGCCCUCUCCAUAUCUUAAACGACAGAAUUCAGAAAUAAUUAAGUAAAGAUUUGCACUAGAGACCAAGUAUUGCAACUCUAAAAGAAAACUCAAUAUUCUCUGUAAUGUAUCUUUGUAUAUAAAUAUACAAAUCUGCUUUUCUGAAUGAAUUUCGUCAAGGUUUGGAGCUAACUCCUUACAACCAGAGGCAUUUCCUCUGUUACUGACCAACAGAAGAUGCAGAACAAGGAAAUAAGUAGGAUAAAUAGACCCCCCCAAACACCCACACACACAGACAGGCAGAUCCUCUUUGUUCCCAAGGUUGAAUGCAGGGAAGGCCAUUACUAUCCUCACGUGUGUUCUCGUGAUCCGUAAAAUUGGACCACUUAAUUAAACAGUAGUGUUAUUCAAACAACUAAUAUUUGAAAACUUUUUUAAAGUGGUUAAUUACGUAUUGUAGAUGAUUAAUAGGUAUACUAGGCAUCAAAACUAAUUGACCAUCGGCGUAACUUCAUUAACCAUGAAAUUGAAUGUGAUUAAUCACAAUUUUAAGGUGUCCAAACAUCUGAAAAUUAUGAUUAACCAUCAAAUUUGUGGUUAAUGAAGUUAUGUUGAUGAUUAACGAGUUUCAACACUUGGCAUAUCAAUUAACCAUCUACUGAAGAUAAUUAAACACAUUUGAAUUGCAUUAACCACGUAAAGAAUUGUCACAGAAGUUGUCCAAAUUUGGUUGUAUGAAAAUCAUCUCUCCAAUUAAAAACUGUGAAGGUUCUACUAGGCAGCCUGCAUACAUCCAAUACUUCUAAGGGAACCAUACGCAACUCCCAAUCUUCAGUAAAAAAAUGUGGAGGUUGUUGGCAAGACAUAGCUUCUAGGAUCACUUUCUAAAGUUGCAGCAUGAGAGAUUGGAGGCACCCUGUUUUUUGAAUUUCCCUCAAUAGAACCCCCGAAAAGUGAAAAGAUAUCAGGGAAAUAUAAAAAAUGAUUUAACACCUAGAAUUUUAUGAUAGAUAUCUCCUAGAAGAUUGUCUAAUUCCCGUGUCUUUGGCAUACGAUAAAAGUAUCUUUUCGUCUCUCCAUCUGCAUCACCAAACUAUAUUUGAAAUGAUUACCAUCAAAAUAGAAUAUAUCGAUUAGAAUAAAUUACUUGAAUAAAAUGCAAACACCAACAUACAGUGUAUUCCCAUUCUAUAAGUUUCUCGAGAGUGGCUUCUUCAAGUUUUUCUUCAAAGAUGCACAUUAAAUAUCCUACAGAAAACAAAAACAAUAUGCAAUGAUAAAAUCUCAAGUGCUGUAAACAGUCACCAUGUAAUCAAGCCUGCAACAAUCAUGGUGCCAUGGGAAUUACCUAUUUUCUGGGCACAAAUAUUAUUCAGAGUCAGAAUUACCUAUUUGCUGUAUAUAAACAAUACAGGGAACAAGCUUGUUCUUGCAUAGAUCAGGGAGUUGUGCAAGUUCCAACGAUGAAACCUGCAAAAAAUGUAUCACGAUGAAUACACACAGCAUAUUUGUUUUAAUGAAUUAGAAUUUAGAGUUUUCAUCAAAGCUACCUCUUCCAGGAAUUCUGGCAAUUCCUCAUAUAUUUGCCUUAGCUCAUCCAACUUAGAAUAACCAAUUUAUCAAAAGUCCAAAAGUAAAAUGUCAGCCACAGUAAAACCAAAUUUUACCUUGUGAAGGAAGAAAAUUUAUGCAGUAGAUUAAACUUAAACAACUACGGACUAAUUCAUCUAUUGAACAACUACACAAAUACUUGACUGACAAUUUGAAUAAUACAUGAUUUUCCAAUUUGAAAAAUGCAUAUGCUAAGGGGAAGAAAAGAAUGAGGAGCCAGGGUUUAACCUCAUCACAGAAACCUUCUUUCACCACUGUCGGAUAUCCCUUCUCUUUAGUUCUGUUUACAUCAAUAACCCCAAUUAUCUGUAAAAGAUAGUCAGUUAUAACAGGAAGCCAAUUGAAGGAAAACUAACAAAUGUCACUCAUACUCAAACAAAAAAAUCAAAUAAGUUUCUACUCUCUAGAUUGUGUCAACAUUUAAGAUGUUUUUCUUUUUAAUCAGAUGCAUUUAACCACCAAAGCAUCAUCAUACACAAUUUAGUUUUUGCAUCUCAUUCUGGUAACUAAUAGGAGAUAAGAAAAUAAAAUGUACCAGCUCAUAGACAUAUGCAAGCUCCGUUGUUAUGCAUGAACUUGCCUGCAGUAUUGUUGAACAUUAAAAACAAUCAUUUAAGCUAGAAACUAUACAAGUGCACUUCCCUAAAAAAAUAAAAAAAUAAAAAUACAAGUGCACUUGAAGAGAAUGUAUGUAUACCAUCUCAACAAUAUCCAAGUUCAAGUACUUCAAUUCUUCUUGAAGACCUUCGGAAAUUCCAACUUCAAAUAUCUUGUUUACAUGCAGAAGUGCACUGAUACUCUAAGACGAUCAAAGAAAAGAAUAUAAAAACUGUGCUGUAGCAACCAAAAUGUGAUUUUCACUGCAAAAUUCAGUGACUCUUAGCAGUUUGAACUGCACAGGAUAUAUAUAUAUAUAUAUAUAUAUAUAUACUGUUCAUCCUAAGAGUAAAGGAAUCCUCUAAAAUAUACGAAACUUGCGCAUCAAAAUGGACUCAUUAAUUAAAGCAGUGCCCAAUAUGGAAAGCUAACCUAAUAUAUUUGGUUUCCUUUUAAUGCAAUGUUACUGCAUACCAAUGCCGAAUAUACUCAAAUCAUGACAAAAAUUAUGGAUAAUCCAGGAAAACUAUGAAAAAGAUAUUCCAUCCAUUUUUUCUUUAUAAAAAUUGACAUUUAAUUUAAAUAAUUGACAUAUUUAUAUGAUUGUUUAUAAAUCGCAUGAAGUAAAAAUUGAAGCCAGCCAAAUAGUUUAAUAUAUUAUUCAUUUUAUAAUUGACUGAUCAUUAACCACAAGACAAGAAGGGGGGAGGGGGGGUUGCUACUCUUUGGUUCCAGGCAACCAGCGACAGAUACAAACAAGGUGCUUACAAGUUUAUGCCUUUUUAUUAAGUGAAUUGGGGUCACAUAAAUAUUAACUCAAGAAACCUUUUACAUGUAGAAGCAAGCAUGGAUUCAAACAACACAAGGAAAAAAAACAAUGAUUGGAAAUCAAAUAAAGUCAUUAAAGAGAAAAUUACCUUCAGAAGUGCUGCCCAAUCAGUGCUAGUGCAUAUGGAGCUUGGAGAGUCAAAUUUCUUGAUCAAUUGAAAGUUAAAUAUUUGGAGGUAUAAGUUACAGAGAAAUAUGUUCAAAAAAUAUAUACAGAGAAAUAAACUUUCCCUGAACAGAGAAACAUCAUAUUCUUAAUUAUACUAAAAUGGACCAGCCUAUCUUCACAUAUCAAUGCAGCAUGUAAUAGUUAAAACUUAAAACAUCAGUUUCAACAUGAUAUCGAUAAUGCUCAAUAUAAUUGUUUUUUUUUUUAAAAAAAAAAAAAUCCAAUAAUUACCAAAAAUCAGGAGCAUACUCGUACUGUUUUUCAAUAAUCAGUUGGCCAUAAAAAAUCAGGAUCUAUAAAAGAGAGCUUACUAGAAGGACAACAGCAUAUUUGAGAAAUUUGGGGGGAGGGGAGAGAUUGUCAUACCUUCAGCAAGUGGGGAAUAUCCUUCACAGAUUUCAGGGUUUCACGUAAAGAAGCAACAAGUUCUUCUGAGCUAUGAAAGAAAGAUAUCUAUUUCUCAUCAAAGAAAAUCAGUUCUGUUUUACUAAAUAGCUAGUUUACCUACAAAUGUACAAUAAACUUGUUUUUUAUCACUUUAUUCCAACCUGAAACUUUUGAUUCAGCAGAUUUGUAAAGCAAAAAAGGCCAUAUGUGAUAAACUAUAAAAGGAUACAGAAUUCAAACGGUAGUUUAGAACUUCAAGAUCAAGUAUGGGCCUCAAGAACCACUGUCUGAAAUGGGAAUAAGACAAAAACAUCACUGUAAGUUUUGAUGUUUAAGAUGUAUAUGAAUUCAAUCUCACAAGUUUAAUAGUCGUUACUUAUCACCUUAAAAGACGUCUACCCAUUGGAGUGACACACUGCAUUCAGGAUAAACAAUUAUUUGUGAGUUGCGUGAAACUGGCACUCGCUAAAUUGAAUUAAACAACUCCAACAAACCUUAUUCAUCAUUCCAAAUACAGAGAACCUGCAAUUAAGAAAAAUUAUCUCAGAUAAUUAACUCAUUUUUAGAGUAUAUUAUAUAUAAGAUUGAGUCAGCAACUACCCUUCUUUUGCUCUACCAAUUCCCAUGUGGCUUGGGUGCUUGUCUAUCUGGAAUAUUUGUAAUGCUUCAUGAGAUGCUGCGUCAAGUUUGAUAAAGUUAUUUCUGCAUCUCCACUUUAAAGAAAGACACGGGUUGAACUCAACAUUAUCUCCUUUCAAAUAGCACAGAGUUGGAGAAUAAAAUAUGGAUAGCAUUUAAGGAUGAGUAAAAUGAGUGUAAGGAUACAGUGAAAUUUCUGCUAAAGAAUCUAUUGUAAUUGAUGUAUUUCCAGAUUCUUUUUGCUCAAGAGUAUCUACAAUCCUUUCAUUCUCUAAUAUUGCAAGAAGGCCACCACUAGCACGAACUUGUACUUCACUUCCCAUGUCCAUCAUGGAACUCAACUGCAAUUGUAAUAGGGCAGAAAUACAUGCAAUUCUGUUAAAGAGUAUUGCAUUGAUAUAUGGAAGGACCGGAACAAUGAUUCACAUACCAGACUUAAUCCAAGUAACAAAUAGUAGAAGAAUAUAUGUUUCCAUUAUUAAUCUAAGCAUGUGCAUUUAUAAGUAACAAUCUUAAGACGCUUUGAAGAUCGACUAUCAAGAUAUAUUGAGACAAAGAUGAUAAAUUACAGUAGUAGUAAUUUCAGACUCACAAAGUAAAUCCUUUCCUUGACAUCUAAUCCAUCAUCCAUUCCCGCCACCCGAAGGUAAAUUAAUCUGUAAAAGCAGCAGGGGGAGGAGGUGAAAGAUGAAGAAGCAAAUGAUUGCUGAAAUUUCAGCACUCCAUUUUUGUUUCUCUUUUUAUUUGAAUGAUUGGAUUGACAAUCCACCAAAAGAUCUCAUAGAAUAGACUCAUUCCAAAUCACAAUGAAAAAUUAGGCAUGUUAAUUAGAACAAGUGCAAAAGAAGUCAGAUUUUGUACAGACUUUUGCUUUACCCUUACUGAAGCUGAAAAUCGAAAAACAUAACUUUUCUAGGUUAAAAGAGAGAGAGGGAGACAAUGCUGAAAAAUGUAUGCUGAAAAGACGAGCAAAAAAUAAUAAUUCAAGAUGGAAUAUAAGCUCAUAAUCAUAGUUGCUUUUGCAUGUGGGUGAGCAUUUGUGCAUGAUAAGUUUCAACAUUCAUAUUUUAAAUGUUAUACACCACCAUGCCACACAGCAAUACAAAAUUUAAACAAAGAACUGAAAGAUCUAUACAAAACAAUGUCUAUCAAGAUCCAAGAACUAAACAUAUCAUUAACAAAUACAUUGCAAACACUUGAAUAAAAAUUUCUCUCUAAGAAAUUUCUCUCUAAGAUCUUAGCUGCUUCAAUACCUGUGCCAUGCUUGCUCAUAGCUGAAUAUUGAACUUUUCACAAGCUUCACCGUAGGAGCCUCAGCUACUUCAUCUGCAUAACUUCAAUUGGUAAAAUGAUCCGAGGGCAAUAUUUUUGUCACUCGACCAGAUGAAGUGCACAUUACCACUUUGUUGCAGAGCAGCCAAAAAUGAUUCUUCUGAUUUAGUGCUUGUGUAUAUGACCAGAGGGUUUGCUUGAUAUUUCACUGCACUAGUCAUUGAAGCCAAAAGACAUUCGUACAUUACAAACCAUAACAGAUAAGAAAAGCAUUACUUGCAGAUCAUUAGGGGCACAUGAAGCACACUAAUGAAAUAAGUGCGAAACGACAACACGUAAAUUCUCUUAGCUUUAAGCUUCAAAUAUGAUGGAGUAUGGAAACACAGAGGAACAUAGAAACUAAAAAUGAACGCAAAUCCAACAGCAAUGAGGGGGGAAAAGCAUACCGAGAUCAAUAACUGAAAAACCAUUGUCCCCAUCAUCCCAAGCUUCAAGCACAUUAAGUUGUCGAAGGCUGGAAUCAUAAUAAGAAACUCCUAUUCUGUAAAGAAGAUUUAAUAACUCAUCAAACAAAAAAUACUCGAUUUAAACUCGGGCAGAGAUGUUUGCGUGACUCACAUUUAUAGCUGUCUAACCAUCACUCGACAUAUUACAAUUUAUAUUUAUAUGUUAUUUUUAAUUAUCGAUGUUUGUGAAACAGUUGGUCACUCAAUUUGAACUACAUUCCUGCAACAUCAUUUUUCACACAAAUUCACUUCCAAUGCACAGAAACUAUCAUUUGGUUUUUGUAUCAAACAAUUUUAUUCUAGAUUAGUUGGCAAUUCCUGGCUGGUAACAGAUAUUUGAGCUAUUAAAAGAAGCUUACCUAUGACCAUUUUGUAUGCAGGCCAUGUAAACCUACAUAAAUAAAUAAAAAAUCCAGUAAAAACUAAGGACUGAAAAGUUGAUGAGUCAUUUAUGCAUAAUCCCUAAGAAAUUAUACGUAAAGAUAUAUGGUUAAGAUAUUAAUCAAAUAAAUAUUUUAACAAACAAAAUAAUUUAAAGCCUUUUCCCACUAGGUUAAUAAAAUAUUCAACACGACAUUGUCAUCAUAAAAUUUGCGGAUCAAACAAGCAAAUAAUUUUUAUAUUUUCAUAUGGUAACUUCAAAACUGAAACAUAAAAAAAUAUUCUUAUAUAAAAUUCAAUUUACAUAAGCAUGUGUGUCAACGUCGUGUCGAUGUUGGACACUUAACAUGCCUUCCAUCAGAAGUUUCGGUUUUUCAUAUGCUAACUUCAAAAAAAUUAAACAUAUACAGAUAACUUCUUAUAUGAAACUUAAAUUACAUUUUUGUACUUAACAAAGACCUUGGGAAUAUAUACUUGUCAGCUUACUGCUUAUAUAAAACAUGUUAUGAAUUUUUUUGCACUAAAGAAAUCACGUCACGAAAUUGAAACUAAUUCUUCCUUAAUUUGUAAAUUCUAGUUAGUAAUUACUGUUAAUUCAGAAGCACAAGAGGCCACAACUCCAACAUAGACGACUAACAACUGUGACUUAUUAUCUAUGAAGCACUGAAACAAACACGUACACCAAACACGACAUUGACAUGGACACUGGUAAAUUUUUUAAAUAAACAAAUUAAUUGAACAUAAUCACAUGUGUCGGUGUCCCACAUUUACACGUGUCAAACACCGAACAAACCUUACAUCAGAAGUCUCGGUUCUACAGAGCUUAUUAGUAUUACUGCUUGAAAUACAUUAUUAUGAUAAAUCUAGCUGAGGCAGUCAAUAGUAUAGUUAAAUAUCAGUAUAAUAAAAAUCAUCAUCAUCAAAUAGUGAAGUGUUAGUUAUUUGGAGGCAUGAACAUAGCGAUUAUAGAAUAAUCACAAAUAGUAUGUUCAAACACCGUCAAUUCCAGUUUCAACUUCAAUUCAUCAAUUUAAACCGUUAUAGAGCGUUAUUAUCUACAAAUUAACCAGUUAAUUUUUCCAGAUUCUGCAUAAAAACACUAAUCUCGUUAAUCUCAGUGAUCAAUUGCUUGUUCAAAAAAAAAAAUUGCACCGAUUCAAAUUUCAACUUCAUUGAUCUAAAGCACAGUGCGUUUUGUUCCGUAACGUGAUUGUUGAGAAAAAAGUAAAACGAGUUAAUCAGUUUGUGGAAUUUUCUCUCAUUUUCUAGGCGGUAAAAAAUUUAGAAGAAAAAGUUGCGUGAGAGAUGAACGAACCUGAGGAACCUCAUCGAUCAUCUCAUCAUCCAUAUCCUCCAUUUUCAGCGAUCUACCUUGUUUCUGAGCUUAGCAAGUAAACGUAGGAGCGAGAAAAUUUGAAGUGAAAGUGAAAAUCGAAAAUGCGAGAAAGAAAGUAACGUAAAUUUGAGCGGGGAAAAAUCGAAAUGAGGGAAACUCUGCUUUUAUAUUGGAAAGCGAUGGAAAAUCUGAAUCUGAUUCUGAUACGACGUCGUUUAAAGCUUAAAAAAUCAUGGGCUUGUGUCAUAUAGGCUCAAUACAAUAACGGGUUAGAGUGGUAGUAAUUUUCUGAGUUUACUUUUCACACCCCCAAUAUCAUAUUGGAUGAACAAGUCUAAAACAAUUUUUUAUAUUGUCAUCUGAAUAUAGUAGACUGCAAGAGGUUAUCACUAGUAUCGUAUUCACACACUUGAAGUGACACACUUUUCUUUAUGAGGCAAUUGUAGUGACACUUAACAACUCACAAUUAAAAUCCCAUUGAAGUGGGAGUUAUUAAUUUACAAUUAAUUUUCUGUAAAACAAAUAAUUUACAAUCAAUUAACGGUGUAUAUAUCUGACCGGAUCUACACUUCUAUAUACCUUUACUUUAGUAGAAAUUACACAACAAAUUCUAUUCAGGAAAGGAUAAUUUUGUUUAAAAAACAAAGGGUUAUGUCAUUUCCAGGUUUCCCCCUAUAAUUUUUUUUAUUUACCUCCUAUAUAUAAAUUUUUUUUGUUUUAGAAUAUCCCCUAAUAGGUUAUUCAAAAAUCAUUUUUUUUCUUCAGAAAUUUUGGUUUUUUAAUGGCCUAUUAGGGGUAAAUAAAUAAAAAAAUUUAAAGGGGAAAAUCCGAAAAUGACCUAUAUUACAGGGGGUAAAGCCCUAUUAAUCCAAAAAUAAAAAUAUGGGAUUUUCAAAAACACAUGAAGAAAAAUUCCCGUUUUAUUUUUAGAAACAUGAUGAAUUAAGGACUAUUAGAUGCUUAUUUUUCAGAAUGCAAAAUUAUACUUGUGUUGUGAGGAAGGCAAUGACUUGGUUGCUCUCUCACUUUUUAAAUGUUUAAACAAAUACAUUAACAUUGCCAACAAAGAUCAAUCAUUCCCAACCAAUUUUAGGGAUAUGAAUUUUUAUUUAAAUAACACUAAUUUUUGUCUAUAAGAAGCUGAAACAUAAAAUAAAAUUAUAAACAUAAAGAAGAUCACAUUGUCAAAGAACAUACUAAGUCUUGAAAUAUAUUAUAAUUCAUAGAUUAAGAACACAAGCCAACUGCACACACGUUCCUAUAACUAAUUAAUACUAAUACUAAUUUGUGGAGGACCGCAGGUACAUGUUAAAGGUUGCAAUAGAAUCCCGGGGGUUGUGUUGUAUACAUUUGGCGAAAUCGCAAACCUGAUAGGGUUGCAAACAACCUUCACGGUCUCCCAGCUAUAAAGGAAGAAUAAUUUAUUUUUGAACAUAAUCGAAGUCAGCAUUGUGAGACCGAAUUCUACCAUUCCAUGUUUACGGCGGCUCAGAUCAAUGCCAUCCGCUACAUAGGAACCCGAAUACGUGUCUACCUUCAGUAUCAUGUGAAUGAGACUGCUGCCGUUGAAAUUAGAUUGCUGCAGAGUUGAUGUGUUGUCGAGAAUGACAUGUUCCUUGUCCGUGUAAAACACCUUGACAUGGAAUUCGUGGUGGUGGUAUGAGAUUCGCAAAUAGUGGUUGGGGUUUGAUACAGAGAGUGUGAUAUUCAAUUCGGCAGUGAGUUUUGUGGCGUUAUUUAUGGUUAGCGAGUAAAUUGAGGCCGAGCUGACUUGAAAAUUUGGGUAAUGUGCAUUCUCACCGACGAUGAAUGCAGCCACGAAAUAGAUGAACCCUAGGCCAGCUAGAGCAGCCAAGAAAUAGAUGGAAGUCAUUGUUGGAUUGGAGGUGGUGCUCUAGUAGUGCUGCUGAUAAUUAAGCGUGAAUGAAUGUUGUUUUCUGUUUUGCUACAAUAUAUAAUAACUGAGGGUGCGUUUGGCCCUACUUUUUUUAAGUCUAAAAGUCACUUUUAGAAUAAUGUUGAAAAUUAAAACUUUGAAGUUGAAGUUAAAGUUGUUUGGUAUUUGUUGUUUUUUUCAACUUAAUUAGUAUUUUAAGUUAAAAUUUGAUUGGUAAAAUAUUUUUAAAAGAGCUUUGAGAUUUAUUACAAAUUAUCAUAAAUAAAAUAAAAACUUUUAUUAUUUUUUUUCUUUUGAAAGUGUAUAAUUUUUUUUAUGAUUUAUAAAAAAAAAACAUCUUGCUAGUUAUAUUUUUAAAUGAAAUUUUUUAUCAUUUGAGAUGUCAUGAAGUACCACAAGUCUUCGGUUAGAAUUUUUUUUACAAUGAUAUUGUCUACCAUUAUAAAAUUAAAGUUAGCAAAAUUCAACGUGUUAAAAGGUAAAAAAAAAAAACUAAGUUGUAAUAAUUAGCAAGUUUUACUUGUUUCAUUAACAAAUUAACAAAUAAAAAAGAAAACAAAUGAGGCUGGCAGGAUUUGAAACAUAAGCGUACAAAAUGGUCAGCGAAUAAGCUAGCAUAAAGUUCAAUUUAUUGACUUCUACUUUUUCAGUUUUUUCUUCUUUAAUAUUAAGUCACUUUUUUUUAUUAAGAGCUUCUUAUGAAAUGUGUUUGUCCCUACUUCUUCUUUAAAGUAGAAGAGAAGUUAAAAUUAAGUCGGGCCAAACACUACCUGACAUUAGUGUGAGCAUGAUAAAUUAAAUGGUGUUUAGCUAGGUAGUAGAUAGUGUACUAGGGUGAUGUUAGAGAAAUUUCGUCGCAUUUUCUUUUGGCUUAUAUUUAGACAUGCAUAGCAAUCUGUCCAGGUUUACAAAUGAAGGUCUAAUUGAAAAUGAUGGAUAUGUACUUGCCAGCUUGGUUGGCCAUCAUGUGUUCAAAGAUAACCAAUUCUCAUCAAUGCAAAGAGAUACAUUAAAUAGCUAGUCAUGGUGAUUUACGGCAACAAGAGAAAUAGUUUAACUUGAGUUUGGAAUAGGAGAUAGAUACAUUGUGAGAUAUAUUGAAGUAAUCAUAAGUUAACAAAACAACAAAAUUCUUUGAUGAAAGAAUAAAAAGAAUGGUAACUUGAAUACAAAAUUCUUUGAUGAAAGAAUAAAAAGAAUGUUCACUUGAAUUUUCAAAACAGAAAGAUCAUUUGUGUCUGUGUUUGUGUCUUGAAGCUCAUAGUAAACAAAACAACAAAAUUCUUUUGCCGGUGGGUGAUGCUAUAUGGUGCGAAUGGUUUUUAUUGCGAAAAUUCACAAACGUGUUUUGAGUCACUUCACUUGCAGUUUUUAAUGGAAGAGUAACAGCAUGAUAGUCCGAUUUAUGGAAUACACAGGGUGGUUGCCAUCAGAAUUAAUUUUUUAUUAAAAAAUAAUAAUAUAAUAACAGUCUCAUUUACUACAAUACAAGGGUGGUCAAUAGUAUUUUUUCUUAAAUAGAUGAAAGAAAAAAAAAUUCAACCACAAUUUGUACCAAAAAUAAAAUAAAAUUCAACCACAAUUUACGCCUGAGAAUUACCUAAGUUAACUUUAUGUGAUUCAACAUUUGGUAAGGGAAGCCUGAAUAUUUUGAAACAUAGACUCUACGAUCAACUAGAUUAUGAAAUACCAUUACACCUUCUCAUAGAGGUCAGCAACAUCCAUUCACUCCACAACAUAUCUGACACAAACAUAAUGAAAUAACAUGAGUGUCCCAGAUUAGCAUUAUCAUUAUGAAAUACAAUGGCACCUUCCUAAAGAAAAGAUGUAUCCACACCUAGUAGCUUAGCUUGUAGCUUGAAGCCUUGAACCAAGAAUUUUUUACCGGUAACAUUAACAAGCUCAGCAUCACAUUUCAUCGUUUGGCAAGACACGAUGGCAUAUAUAGUGCCCCGAUUAUCACAAUAUUUACUAACAUAAAAAAAAAAACAUAAAAAUCGUAUUAUGGGUUGCUUAUGAGAAAAUGCUAGAGAAUGUUACUGUGGAUGAUAACCUUACCCAUAGACAUUACACAAAAGAAAUUUAAAACUGAGAAAGCAAGUGAUUCAUGCAUGUAUAAAUUUAAAUUAGAAAGUAAUGGUGAUAAGAAGAUGCAGAGAAGAGACAAAACUAGCAUACCUUUUUUCACAUUCUUUAACUAAAGGUUCAUCUCGAAUAAGAGAAUGAAUUGAAAGAAUAAGACCUUUAAUGACACUCUUAGGGCAUUCAACAUCUAACAAAUUCCCUACAACUAGAGUAGCGUUUUCUGGCAGACCUAUGUGCAAGAAAUAUAGUGUUACAAAGAAAAAGUAUAAUCCUUCAUAUAGGACUUUAAUUUAAAUUGGUCGGAGUUUUACCCAUAUACAUCAACACCUAGUUGCUCAGAACAUUCAUUAUAGAAAUCGGAAAAUAAUUUUAUACUAGGCCAAAAAAAAUAUAUAAUUGAAAAAGAAGUCUUAUGAAACAACAUAUACGUCCUUAAUUAAUUACGUGCACAACUAUUAUAACAUUUUCUUAGGUUGACCAAUAAAUAUAUUUCAUGCGCUCAAGUGUUUUUUCAUUCCAUAAUGAGAAUAUACAACAAUUUUUGAAUAAAAAUCCAGUCAAUUGAGCACUUGAAAUCCAAACACAAAAAGGGUGUAGAGGAUAGAGAACCUACGGAAGGGUUGUUUGCAAUGGUGAUGGAAGCAUAUAAGAGUAAACAGUAACGGUAUUAUGCAUAAUCAGUAAGUAACGGUUACGUUCUAAUAGUGGAUUCCAGUAUUAACUUCAAUUCCUCAUUUUAAACAAAUAGCAGAAAUAAUAAAAACAAGUUAAUCAAGUUUGUUCAAUUUUCUCUCAUUUUCUACACUAGAAUUUAGAAGAAAAUGUAGCGUAAGUGUUGAUGUCCUAUCCAACUAUUGGACCAAAACUGGGUGCCUCUACCAUCACCUAUUUUUUUUCACCAAAGCGCCGACAAACCAAUCACCCAAUCCUUGUCCCAUCGAACUCACUCACAAACCUUUCCAUCCACCGCGAAUCUCUGCCGUUAAUAAAAUCCUUCAAUGUGCAGUCAGAGAACGUGGACAGUUCGAUCAUGAUCAGACAUUUCUCAAAACUAUAUAUAUAUAUAAAUUGCGUUAAAUAAAUAACUAUAUAUAUUAGCGAAAUGUUUAUAGCGAGGCUUAGUCACGCGAAAUUGUCCGGACGGUAUUCCACCCAAGUUUGUAUUGUUGACUUAAACCUUUUAUUUAUUCAACAUGUUGUGAAUUCCGUAUAUAUUUGUUUUGUCAUUGGCUACUUCAUCUUUCGCUAUUUUUCGAGACAACUUCUUUCGCUGGAUAUAGCAAUUCUCUAUAUAUUAAGUAAAGUUGUUCAAUGAUGGAGUACUACUUGAAAUUGAAUUUAUGAAUAGUACACACACUUAAUAUUAAAACUACACGAUAAUUAUUAAUUAAUGUCCUAGAUCAGUUACAAGAACUCCCACAUCCUAACAAGAUCUUGAACUAUAAAUAAUUCAUACAUAAAUUGAGAUCACAAGCUAAAUGAACACACACCUUUCAAAUAAAAAAACUAAAUGGACACACAUUCCUAAAACUAAGGGUAACUACAUACUCCAUCAAUAAUACGAUCGGAAACGGGUUUGGUACAGUUUACACCGUGCAAUAGAAUCCAAGAUGUUGUGCUGCAGAUAUUUUGUGAAAUUUCAAAGCUAAGAGGGUAGCAAAUCACCUCCAAAAGGUAAUGGUUGUAUAAGAAUAUGAAAUGAUGCUUGAAACUAUACGAAGUCGAUAGAGCAAGCCCAAAUUCCACCUUUCCAUGUUUCCGGCGGCUGAGAUCAACAUCCGAGUUUCAUCUCAACAACGUUGCUGCUGUGGUUGAAAGAUGACUGCAGAAGUGAUGUGUCGAGAAUGAUCUGUUGAUCCUUGUAAAAUAUCUUGGGAUCAAAUGAAUCGUGGUGGUAUGAGAUUCGCAAAUGGUAGUUAGGGUUUGAUAGGGAGAGUGUAAUUUUCCAUUCAGCUGUGAGUUUUGUGUUUUUGUUUAUUGUUUGUGAGUUGAGCUGUGAGGCCGAGUCAAGUCGCAAAAUUGGUAAAUGUGAAUAAGCACUGACGUAUAAGCAACCCAUGAGGAUGAAAAGGAGUAAUAGAAUGCAGAAGAUGCAUUGGAUUGGAGGAGGUGAUGCUAUGGUAGCGCUGUGCUGAAAAUCAAGCGUGCGUGAAUGAAUAUUAUUGUUGUUUUUCAUGUUACUAUGUAUAAGUAAUAAAUCUGCUCAUGUUUACAACCAGCUUCGUUGGUUGGUCAUCAUCUGUUCAAACUUUUUCUCUUUUGACUCUCCAAACUCUCCUUCAGUACCUAACUUUCAACCUAGGACCUAAGGUUGAGGUUUGUAUAAACCUCUUAGGAAACCGCAUACAUAAGGGAAUAUGAAAUUAAGCAUUUUGAUAAAAAAAAAAUAAAAAAUUAGGAAAUUAAUUAAGCACUUACUAGCAAAUGCUGAUCAAGGCCAACUAAACCCAAGUACAUUAAAUAGCUAGUCACGGCGUUGUAAUUUGGUGGAAUGGUGGCAACAAGAGAAUUAGUAAAAUCUCCUAGGGGUUGUAUAGAGAUAGAGAUUAAAUGAUGUUGAUUUCAAGCAGAUUUUUUAAUUUUUAAUUUUUAAAUAAAAACUUAGACUCAUAAUUUGUAUGUCCAAUCAUGAUCCAACGUCUAUCGACGUGCAAAUUAUUUUCAAUAAUAGAAAUGUGCACGUAUUUAGAUAUUCUAUUAUUUUAGAUAUAAACCUCUAUUUAGAUAUUCUAUUAUUUUAGAUAUAAACCAAAUUAUAUUCUUCUUUAGAAUUGACAUUUUCGAAUAGCACGUGUGUUUGUGAUGUUAAUUAGAAUUAUUCUACAUGUUUAAAAAAAAAAAAAGAAUUAUUCUACAUGUAGAAUUGAUAUUUUAUUCUUCUUUGAAUGUAUAAAAUUAUUGCUUAACUUAUUUUUAUAUAAAUGUAUCUAAACACACAUGUAAAUCAAACACACGUGCCUUGUGAUUUGCGCUUAAUAUAACCCGCUUAAUGAAAUUAGGUUUUUCCUUUCUUCUACUUACGUAAUUAAUAUCUUUUAUGUAAUUUACUUUUUUCCCGACUAAAUAUGAUUUACUUAAAAAAAGUCCCUCAAAAUAUAACAAUAAACAAAAAUAAAGGUAAAUUCUAAUAUAGAACAUGUCCACCACAGACAAGCACUUCAAAAAUGCUUAAAACACUAACACACAUUGUCUCUUAGAAAUAGACAUUAGAAGGAAAAAAAAAAAAAAGAGUAAAAUAGCGACUUAAUAGAAAUUGAUUCGAUAACUAUAAUCAAAAGUAUAUAUAUUUAUCGUAUUGAAUUGACAUCAAUGAAAUCGCCAUUUAAGAAGGUGGUUCACUCUAGACCUCACGAAAUUUUUUUUUAAGUAUUCGUUGGAUGCACCAAACAAGACCGUUGAAUUGCACCCAACAAUUUGCUAGUUGUUCUUCCUUCCUUCCAAACAAACAAACGCUCCAUCGGAACUUCCAAGCCCAACAUUAUUCACCCACUCCCCCCAUAUCCGAGAUAGCAGGGGCGGAGGGAUUGGGGUGGCAAGGGAGGCCAUGCCCGCCCCCCAAUUUUGUUAUAAAUAAUUUUAUACCACUAAUAUAUUGCUAUUUAAUUAGAAAUGUCAAUGCAGUCCCCCCAUUAUUAGCACUUUCAUUUGUAGUCUUAAGUCUUAUAUUAUAUGAACAUCGAACCUUUGUCUUUUAUAACUAAAAAAGAGUCCUUUAACUAUGUCAAGUAUAAAAGCAACAAUAGAAUAAAUUUAAAAGUUAAUAUUUUCACUUCCAUUUUUUCUCUAAGCUGUCGAAAAAUACCAAAAUACUUUCAACGAAAGUUUACUAUCAAUGAAGAAACUUUUUAAAUCAAUUAAAUCGAUUUAAAAAGUAAUUAACCUGAUCUAAAAAGCGUUGAACGACAUUCAACUAUCAUUGGAGAGGCUGACAAUAGUUAAUAUCGCUCGACCAACGAUAGUUGCGAAAAUGAGAAAUUUUGAAAGUGACAAGAGUAACUUUCAUAAAAUAAAUAAAGUAAGAAGUGAAUUUAAUUUUUCUAUCUUCUCUCAAUAUUAACUUCACAUGUAGUUUAAAUUUCUCAUAUAUGCGGUACAUUUGAACUUUUUUUUUGUUUGACUAAAAUAUACUUUUUAAACUUGAUCCCUCUAUAAUUUAAUUUCUCGCUCCACCCUUGCGAGCACACUCGGCUUGCAAAGUAAUCAACACUAAUUUGGGAAGGACCAAACCGGGUGCCUCCACCAUCGGCUAACUUUUUUUACCACAGCACCAACAAACCAAUCGUCCAAUCCUUGUCCGGUUGAACUCACUCCACACAAACAUUCCCACCACAAGAUUGACAAAUUCGGAUUGAUCAAAAUAUAAAAUAUCCGAACCAUACAUAGCACUCAACAUUUUGACCAUUGCCAAUCCUCCUUGGAUAAUAACCGUCACUGCCACCUUCACCCCCAGACCACAUUCAAUCUUCUAAUUUGUGUAUUUUAACUUUUCAACUUUGUCGUGUUUUUUUACUGACAUGUUAACACUUAUUCAAUGUCACGGACAUCUCCAAUUAAUGAUGAUAGUGUUUAUUGACAUGUUAGCCUUUUGGUCAUAAUAGCUACUACUAGUAUUUACAUAUCACAAGCUGCGCUCAGGUUACAAAUUAAGGAAUUUUACACUUUUGGUUCAUGUGAAAAAAGGUAAAUAUUGUACUACAUGCAGAACAAGUGACUUCAAACACACAAGAGGGGUGAGUUGUGUUCUUUAAGAAAUGAUUUAAAAUAAGCAUUUAAAAAAAGAUUUUAACCAAAUAAAAUAAAUGAUAAAUAAAGUAAAAGAGAUAAAGGGAUGAGAGAAAAUAAUGACACAAGAAGUUUAUCCUAGUUCGGCCUAAAACAUCAAGGCCUACGUCUAGUCCCCAAGGAAAAGCCCCUUGAGAUUUUCACUAACCUAACUUUUAAACGGGAUAAGCUAAUAACCUUUACAAAUAAGCGAACACUCUUCAAACAAAACAAUCAUUUGUAGAAGAGCCUCUAAACUCAAGAGAUAUCACCUCUCUUGAAACCUUGGGAUCACACCCAAUACAAAAUAGAGUUACAAUAAUAAAGUAGUAUACCAAAUGUGUAGAUAUAAUAAAUUGACGCACAAUUACUACAACUCAACUAUGUAGUAUAAAAUAGUUCUCAAGAUAAUAAAUUAGCAAGUGUAAAAAUAAUGAGAGUGAUGAAAAAGUAUUUUUGACAAUGUUUAAUGCAAAUAUUAGUUGUGUAAAAUAGCCACCACAAAGCUCAUAUUUAUAGUGCAAAUGGCAUUCAGGAGCAAUAAAAAAAAUAGCCGUUGCACAAAAAUAUUCAUUGCGGUCAACUUGCAAUUUAAGAGAAAAAGAGUCGUUGCCUUUAAAGUGAAGAAUCAAAACAAAUAUGCAGUUAUCACACUGUAAUAAAUUUGGCCAUGAUCAAAUUAUAUGCAUUAUGUAAAAUGAUUGGUAAUGAACUCGACUCAAAUUAACCUUAGAUUUUUUUGUUUGACAGCAACUUUGUGAAUGAACUCGACUCAGUAUAACACGUGAGCAAACACACCAUCACUGAACCCCUUCCUUCCUUAUUGCAACUACGCCGUCGUAUCCCGUCGUUCUGGUCAAUGAUUUUUUAUUUUUCGAGGAUAAAUUCAAAGCACUUUUUCUAUUCGAGUUUCCCUUGUCACAAUCCCACACCAUUACUAUGCUGAGCCGCUUUCUCCCUCUCUCAGUUUGAUUUUUUUUUUCUUUUUUUUUAACUUGAUGCAAUUUUCUUUAAAAAUGAUUGGUAUUGUACUUUAAUUACAAUUGUUUGAUAUUUCACUUAAUGAAGAAAAAAUUACUUUAAUGUGCACUUACUUUGAAGAAUACGUAUUGACCUUUAGUAUUGAAAACGGUGGUGAGAUGAGAUGUUUGUAGCCGACAAGUCCUUCUUUGUGUGAUUUUCUCUUCUAUAUAUUUUAUUUAUUUAUUUUAGUUUUAAUAUUUAAAACCCUAUAACAAUUAGAAAAGGAAAAAUGGGUGGGGAACAAAGCGUAUUCGUGCUAUCCGCGGGGUUCGCUUAUCGCACCAUAUAGCAUCACUGUAUAUUUUUAAUGUCAAAAUCAAUUAUGCAAUUUGUAAAAUAAAUUCUGACUUUUUAUGUAAAAAUAUUUUUAUGCAAAAUCACAUUUAAAUGAAAAUUAUUGUGAGUGUGUGAUUUAUUUUCUCGAGAGCUUUUUAUCCACUUAUAAUAAAGUCCUAAUAUAAAUAAAAAAACUCAAGACUCAAGACUUGAUAGCUUGAAUUUCUUUUCCACUUUUUGCAUCAUUGUUCUUUUAAAAUUUCUUUUGUCCAUCGUCAAACCAAUGUAUUCAUGUCAAAACAUAUAUUCACACUACAAACUUUUGUGAAAUUAUAUAUGGCUUUUCCCAGAGUUACAAUAACUUAAACAAAUUUAAUUAAUAUUGGAGAAACAAACUUAAACAUGGGCAUCCACUAUGAUCUAAUACACAAUUAACAUUGGAAUUAAAUCACAUAGCUGUCUGUCCUAGAGUUACAAGAUCUCCUAAAAUUUAAGAUCACAAAGCCAGAUACCAAGUCUUGAAAAUAUACAUAUAAACAAUCAUAAGUUAAUCAAACAGCACACAGAUUCCUAUAAUAUAACAAGGUUAUUUAAUAUUGCAUCAAUAUAGUUUUCUAUAGUUUAAAUUGCUAAGCUUGUUUUUCUUUAUAUAUUUACGAUAAAUGUAUCUCUAAUAUUAUUUACUUAAUUUUAUAGUAAUUUUUUUUAACAAGCCUCUUCUAUAGUAUUAUAAACUAAAUAUCAUUAUAGUCCCUAAAAAUGUCACCAACUUUAUUAAAAAAUAAAAUGUCAACUAACAUAUUUAUAUGUUCUAGAGUAAAAUUGAGUUGUCUUCUACUUCAAUUUAACAAGUUAUUGCUUUGGCGUUUGCAGCAGUAACAACCAUUAGUGGGAAUAAUCUUUUGAUCACAUUCAAAAAUUAUCCAAUGUGGACCUAAAUUUAACACACAUGAUUUUUGAGGUUAGAAAUUUCUAUUGUCAAAUCUCAAUCCAAUGAUCAUUGAUCUAAUUAACGAUAUGAAUAUGAGAGACUACAUGUAAGACGGUUGAAUUGCAUCCAACAAGUUUGCUAGUAGUUGUCUUCUGCUUCAAUUUAACAAGUUAUUGCUUUGGCGUUUGCAGUAACAACCACUAGUGGGAAUAAUCUUUUGAUCACAUUCACAAAUUAUCCAAUGUGCAUCAAAAUUUAACACCCUGACUUUAACAUAAUUAACUUUUUACUCUGUUUUUUAUUGACUGACCUAAUACCUAACUUUGUCCAAAAAAAGUCUUAAAUUAAGUGAAUACAGUCUUACAACCUCAAAUUAAUGUUUUACUCAGGUUUUCACAUACUAACUUGAGAUCAAGGAAGAAAACUCAUAACUAUAUUAUAAAAAAUAAAAAUAAAAAAUAAAAAAAAAGAAGAAGAAAAGUCAUAAUUUUGUCCAAAGUAGCAAUAACCACUAGAGUGAGUUUGGUUUGGUUUUUAGAAAGGAAUAUAGAAUCAAAUCGAAUGUUUCUUCACACUUCUAUUAUCAUAAAUGUUAUAAAAUUUGCAAAAUUAUGAUUUGAUUGCAAUAUAAAAACAAAGUUGUUCAAUGAUAGAAUAUUACAUAAAUUUAUGAUUAACACACAAACUUAACACUGGAACAACACCAGAUAAUUGUCCCAGAGUUACAACUAACAAGAACUCCCACAUCUUAAACAUGUAAAUGUAAAUAUUAAUUAAUAUUUUAUAAAUUGAGAUCACUAGCUAAAUGCAAUCACAUUCCUAUAACUAAGUGGGAUUACAUACUCCAUCUCAAUUAUACAUAAUCAUAACCCAAGUCGCAGGUUACACCUUGCAAUAGAAUACCAGGGGUUGUAUUGUAGACAUUUUGAGAAAUUUCAAACCUGAGCGGAUAGCAAACAUUUGAAGACUUGGAGCCUGAAAAGACGAAGAAAUCACUUUUGAAUCUCAUCGAAGUCGAAACAAUUAGUCCAAAUUCAACCAUUCCAUGGUUGCGACGGCUCAAAUCAAUUUUCUCCGCCAUGUAGGAGCCCACGUACGUGUCAACGUUCAAUUUAAUCUGGACCAUGUUGUUGCCAUUGAAAAAUGAUUGCAAAGUUGAGGUUUCAAGAAUAAUAUCGUUGUCGGGACGUCCUUGCUGAUUCCUGUAAAAUAUCUUGCCAUGAAAUGCAUCGUGGUGGUAGGAAAUUCGAAGAUGGCCGUUAGGGUUUGAAAGCAAGAGUUUUAUGUUCCAUUCGGCUGAGAGUUUUGUGGUGUUGCUUACUUUAAAUGAGCUGAGUGAGGCAUAGUCCACUCGGACACUUGGGUAGUCUGCUUCGAUGGCGAUGACUAUCCAAACCAUGAAAUAGAUCACCAAACAAGGGGUUAAAAGGAUGAUUGGAAGAACAAAGAAGCCUUCGCGUGGUGACUCGCGUGGUGAAGGCGUAGUUGGAUCGGAGGAGUUCAUGAUGCUCUAUUGUUGUAAAUAUGUUUUCUUGAGUGAGUGAACAAUUGUUUGUUUUCUAUUUUGCUACUACUAAAUAGAGAGAGAGAGAGAGAGAGAGAGCAUAAAUGAUCAAUGAAAGGGUGUUUAGCUACUUAGGUACAAAUGAAAGAGCAUGGAAAUUACAUCGCGUUUUGCUUUUACUUAUAUUUAGAAAUGGAGAGUAAAAUGCCCAGGUUUACAAAUGAAGGUAGUUGAUAGUGAUGGACAUGUGCUCGCUAGUUUGGUUCGUCAUUACAUAUGAAAUUUUGAGCAUUUUGGAAAGAAAAAAAAAUUAGGUAUUUAAUUAAGCACUUACUAGCAAAUUCUAAUCAAGGCAAAGAAAUACAUUAAAUACCGUACUAGUUAGAGCAUAUGAUGAAGAGAAAAAAAAAAGAGCAUAUGAUGAUUUUAAUUAAUGUUUUUUUGAAGGAAUGAUUUUAAUUAAUGUUGUUCAGCUAGUUAGGUGUAGUAAUAUAACGGACAAAGGAAAUUACAUCGCAAUUUCCUUGUGGUUAUAUUUAGAAAUACAGUGCUAUUGGUUCAGUUUACAAAUGAAGAAUGCAUAAUAAUGAAGGGCAUGUGCUUACUUGGUCAUCAAUUAUGUGUGAUCAAACAUAGGAUAGCACUUCCUCGGUAUGCAUGCACAUCAACAAUUAUUGAUAAUUGCUGUAUUGAAAUUAAAUGAUGUAAAUUUUUGUGUUUUACUCUUAAAUUAAAACUGAGGUUUGAAUUUUGUACUACACUGGGUCUCAAUCCAACGACAAAUAACGUGGUUGUCUAUGUUAAUGCAAAAACAUAGUGACCGCAUGGAAUCUAAGUCUAUAUAAUUUUUUUUUAUUAACAUAAAUUAACAAUUUUUUUUUUUUAUAAUUUCGAUUUAAUUCAAAAUUCCACCGUUGUUAAGUCAUGCAUAAAUCCAAGUUAAGUCAUGCAUAAAUUCAAUUGUAUGAGAGUGUGUCUCCUCUAAUUUACAUUUUAAAUUGUUACAAAAAAUAAUUAUUAUGUAUAGUAAAGAUUAAUAUAAUGUAAGAGACCUGUGUCCCAUGUGUAGUAAGGUUGGUUUCUCUACACAAGUUCCUCACGUUUUGUUUUCUUUUGUCUAUUUUAAUUGUUGGUUGGCUUUGGAAUUCGGACGCUUCUAUAGUAAUUUUUUGUACUACAAAUUUUCUGAAGAAGUUUAAGAACCAAGUUCAAAGGUAGCUAGAGAAUCAAAUCUUGUAGGUUAAGGUGCUUUCAUAUUUGUUUUUGCUUGCAAAAUACACAAGAGAAUUCAAUGAUAAUGCCUAGGUUUUCUUAUCAUAUUUACUUUGGUUGUAGCAUACAUCUGGAUAUAACUACACAUGUUGGUUUCUAGACAUUUGGGCAUUCACUUUGUGCAUGUUAGGAAUGACAUUGUAAAGGUUUCAUUGUGUGCAUGUUAGGAAUCAUUUCAUUUGUUAUUUAAUAUUUCACACAAUAUAAAUGUAUAUAUCAAUUCUACAGCUGAAGACAUUAGACUUAUACAGUUUUGAUUUCAAUAUUCGAUGAAGUUUAUUUUCUAUAAAUCAUGUAAUUUAUUUAUAUUUCAUAGGUUUCAAGAAGGAAGACUUGCUUGAAGGAUUUGUUGAAAUCUGCCUCAGAAAUAAAAGUAACUUCAAGAAAAGUAAUUGCAUUGUCAUUUAUACCCUAAAUAUUUUCUUAUUUUAACGUUUUGUACCUUCACUAUCAUGAAGAAUAUAUAUAUACUUUUGAUAGAGUUAAUUUUUUGAGUUUGUUGGAAUUUGAAUUUGUUAGGUUGGAUGGAAUUUGAUUUGCAUUCAUCAUUUUAUAUGGAGUGGUGUUGAUGUGAUAAAUGGUGGGGUCACAGGUUAGGACAAGUUGAGAGUGCUAGGAAGUACCUUUGUUUGUGACAGGCAUCAAGUUGUUUUUGUUGAGCUAAAAUUGGUUUAUUUUGUUUGUGACUAUUGAAUUGUAUGUCCCUGGCUUUAUGUUGUGGUCAUGCAAAUUUUCUAUGGUAGUGGAUAGUGUUAAGUUUUUAGGCUUCUUUAAUAAUGAAGAAUUUACACUAAUUACUAACAUAGUGUUAUGUUUCUUACUAUACUAAUCAUAAUGUUUUACAACUCAACCAAUAAGAUGUCAAUUUUCCAAAACAUUAUGAUCUUCAAUCAUGGUUUAAUUAUAAAUUUUAUUAUUUUCUGAUGCAGGGGUGUCUUUGUUCUGUAACUUUUUUUAAUGCAUUCUGAUAUGUUACUGUCUUGAACAUUGGACCCAAUCAUGAAAACUCUCUUAAGUUGGCCAAAGUUUUGGAGUUUAGACCACAUUUUUUUAUGGAAGUCCUCUAUUGUUGUCAAGAUGUUUGCCCAACAUUAUUCACCCACUCCCCCCAUAUCCGAGAUAGCACACUCGACUUGCAAAUUAAUCAACACUUAUCUAGGAAAGACCAAACCGGAUGCCUCCACCAUCGGCUAACUUUUUUACCAACGAACCAAUCGCCCAAUCCUUGUCCCGUCGAACGCACUGAUCCACACAAACAUUUCCACCACGAGAUUGAUAAAUUUGGAUUGAUCAAAAUAUAAAAUAUCCGAACCAUUCAUAGCACUCAACAUUUUGACCAUUGCCAAUUCUCCUCAGAUAAUAACCGUCACUGCCACCUUGGUAAGACAUCUAUGUUGAACACCCCAAGGUCCUUCACCCAAGACCACAUUCAAUCUUCUAAUACGUGUAUUUUAACUUUUUAACUUUUCAACUUUUUCGUGUUUUUGUACUGAAAUGUUAACCCUUAUUCAAUGUCAUGGACGUCUGCUGCUAGUAUUUACAUCACAUGCUGCGCUCAGGUUACAAAUUAAGGAAUUUUACACUUUUGGUUCAUGUGAAAAAAGGUAAAUAUUGUACUACAAACUUUAACAAGAACUUUUCCCAGAGUUACAAGAACUUUAACAAACUUAAUUAAUAUUGGAGAAACAAACUUAAACAAGGGAAGCCACUAUAAUCUAAUACACAAUUAACAUUGGAAUUGAAUCACAUAGCUGUCCUAGAGUUACAAGAUUUCCUACAAUUUAAGAUCACAAAGCCAGAUACCAAGUCUUGAAAAUAUACAUAUAAAUAAUUCAUAAAUUAAUCAAACAGCACACAGAUACCUAUAAUAUAGUAACUAAUAAGUGUAAAUCAAUAAUACUAAGUGUUAGUGCAUGUUACACCUUGAAGUAGAGCAGCUGGGGUUGAAUUGUAGACAUUUUUCGAAAUUCCAAAGCUUAGUGGGUAGCAAACAUACUUCAAAUGUUUCCGAUUGGAAACAAAGAUAUAACUCUUGAACCCGAUGGAAGUGAACACUUUGAGCCCGAAUGCAACCCUUCCAUGUUCACGGCGCCUCCGAACAAUGCUCUCGGCCAAGUGAAGUGGCUCAUACGAGUCUACUUUCAGCUUCAGCUCAAUCAUGCUGCCGUUGAAAGGUUGAAUAGUUGAUGUCUUGAGAGUCACAUCGCCAUAUUCAUCUCUGUAAAAUACAUCAGCAUUGAGUGUUUCUUGGUAUGAGACACUUAGAUACUGGUUUGGGUCGGAGACUGAGAGUGUUAUGUUCAAUGAGGCACUCAUUUUCUCGGUGCCAUUUAUGGUUAGUUGGUUGAGUGAUGCCGACUCGACUCGGAAACUUGGGAAUUCUCUAUCAAGACUGAUGAUGAAUAAACUAAGGAAUAAGCUGCCAAUGAAGGCAGCUAUCAAGAUUAUAACACCCGCGAAGAAUUGGCUACGGGAAGACAUUGUUUUGCUAGUGCUGGUGAGUAAGUGUGUGAACUCGUUGUUUUCUUUUGUCUACUAUUUAUAAUAUAAUGUAAUGUAAACAUUAGUGAACACUGAACUUGAUUACUUUAAUGUUGCUCAAAUAGGUGGAUAAUGUAUUAAUGUGAUGAAGAUUAGGAAAUUACAUCGCACUUCCCUUGUGGUUAUAUUUAGAAACACUGGGAAAUUUGCUCUACAAAUUAAGGAAAUAAUAAUGAAGGGAAUGUGCUUGCAUAGGAAAUUAAAUUACUAUCAAAUUAAACACUUAAUUGAGAUGUUAGACAUACACGGUGAUUUUUUGUGUCUUUCUAUUUACCCAAUGUGGUUUGAAAUCCAAUUACUUUGUUGAGUUAAAAUUGAUAAUAGUUAAAACAAUAUAUCUAUUACUACAUUGUGUUUCUAUGGUGAUACUUUAGUUUUAGUUGAGUCAUUAAAACCUAUUUAAACUUUGUAGUAACAAGAUAAAAGAUGCAGUUUUUAUAUAUGUCUUCCACCUGGCAGUGUGGCAUUUUGGUUUUUUUUGGUAAAAGUGAUUCAUUUAAUUGAACUUUGGUCUUUUCUAAUGGAACAAUAGGCUAACAGAUAACAAUAUAAGAUUUCACCAUAGUGUUUUAUUUUCUGCUGCAAGGGGUCUCUUUAAUGCGAUCUGGUAUGUUAGGGUCAUGAACAUUGGACACAUUCAUUAGAAUUCUCUGAGUUGUGCCAAAGUUUAGGAGUUCAGACCACAUGUGUGUAAUGAAUGGGCCACGUGGACAAGGGUCUAGAAGAUGCUGAAAUAACAAAAUCAGGAAAUGAGGAAAAGUGUGAGGCCUCGUUUCCCCUCACACAAGCUAAGGGAUUACUACAUUUAAUUUGGGUAUAUAUAGAACGUAGGAUUGAGACUGAGGGUGGUGAAUGUUUAUGUGAGAAUUUUCUUCUCUUCUUAUCCACUGAGAUUUCUCUCCUGUUCUUAUAUAUCAUUCAUCAUACUUGUAAUUUCCUUCAAUUCUCUUCUACUUCAUACACUGGAAGUUGAAUUGGAGCCCUUAGUAAUACAAUCUUCAUUUUUCUUAUUUGUCAUCCUUUACAGUUGAGAUAAAUAGCCUUAAAUCUCUAUCUUUCUUCCAAUGAUUUGAAUCAACACAUAGGCAUUCAGUUACCAUCCCAAAUGAAAAUAUUAUUGGCAACUUAGAAUCACUUGCAUUAAUUUAGGUCAAACACGUGUCUCGUGAUGAAAAUUUGUUCAAGUUUGCGUCCUUAAGAAUCUUGUGUUAUUAGUAAUAUUGAAAAAUGGUUUAACAAGUGACAUUCCACCAGAUAUCCAGAACCUCAACAAGUUGAAAAGGUUUGUUAUUGCUGAAAACUAUUCUAUUGAGAAGUUUCUGAUGUAUGUUUUUAAUGUAAUGAAUGAGUUGUUAAUUUUGGAUUCCACUGUCUGAAAGUUUACCUUUUGAAUCUUUGAGGGGAGUUUGAUUGGAAGUCCUAUGUUAUUUUUUCAGUAAUCAUUGUUGACAUCAUGCUUGGAAAUGCGGUCAGUGGAAGUACUAAUGCAGCCUAAUGUCUUGAUACAUUGUGUUUCUGCUGUGAUACUUUAGUUGAAACACUUAUAUUCACUAAAGCCCCUUUAAACUUUAGAGGGAGGGGAGGGGGCUUAGACGGAAAGUUGGUGAUGGAAAUUCCAUAAAUGUUUGGCAUGAUCCAUAGUUGCAUGCUCACAACAAUGUGUUUGUGGUCUCUCAACCUCCACCCAGUUUGGAGGGCAUGAACUUAGCUCAUUUAAUUGAUUAUCAAACUGGUCAAUGGCGUGAGGAUGUAGUGAAGGCGCUUUUCCAGAAUCGAGGCAUUAACGAGAUCCUCUGAAUUCCUCUUCGGCAAGUAGAUGUAAUGGAUAGACCGGUAUGGAUAGUGUCUAAAGAUGGGAAUUAUUCGGCAAAAUCUGAUUAUUUCACUUUGGAGGAAUUUAUUCAGUAACCAUUGGGAGCAUGAGAUUCAUUGUUUUAUGGACUGUCAAGCGGCCAAAGAAGUCUGGUUGAAGUUGUGGAAUAUCAUAAGGCCUUCUUUCAACAGCAGAAUUGCCUUCUUUUUAGCAUGCCGUCAUAUUCUGAGGAGGAAUGACAUAAUUUUGGAGCAUGUGAACCAGUCUACCAUUGAGGUUGCUAGAAUAGCUAUAACUGUCAUAGAGGACUGGAAAUCUGUCCAUCAAUAGAGCAGAAUGGUCGCGGACCAGCAGCAGAAUGCUGUCAUUAUGCAAUGGAAAAGACCACAGUUAGGGACCGUAAAGUAAUAUAGCUGCACGUUUGAAGAUGAAAACAACUUCAGUUGCAGCAUGUGUAUUCGGAACAGGGAGUUAUGGUCCAAGCACGGAAUAUGUGGUUUGUAGGAACACCUUCGCCAUGUGAAGCUGAAGCAAACAGUUUAAGGCAGACUCUGAUAUGGUUACACGGCAAAGAGAAGUUGCACAUUGAGCUGCAAACUCUGACAUGGUUACAAGGCAAAGAGGAGUUUCAUGUUGAGCUAGAAACAGAUUGCAAGCAAAUAGUGGACUCCGAUAUCCCGGUAAUUUGUCUACUUUCUGAUGCAUUUUACAAGUGAUCCUGCCGCUAAUCUCUCUAGUACGUGUAGAAGCAUUACUUACACACUAGUAUCCUGAAUUUGAGAUGUUUCUGUUAGAUAGUGUCAUAGCUACCUGGCCAAAAGUCAAGGAAUUGGCCGAGACAAAUUCUGAACACUCAUGUUGUGCCCUUCGAAAAUUCACAAAACUUAAGGAAAAUGGUAGAGUAAAACAACCUUCCAGAUCUUUAUUUUGAUAACAUAGAAUAACCAACAGAACUUGCCUUAAUUUAAAUUUCAGAUUAUGAUUGCAGUUUUGAUAUCCAGUUUAACAAUAAUGGAUGAAUUGUACUGAAAUGAAUUUCUUUAGCCAUUGUCAAUAUUUGCCUAAAAAAUCACUAAAUCUUAUGAAUAAACAUUGAAAUGAUUGUUUUUUUUCUAAUUUGUUUCACUGACCACCUCAUCGGUACAUGUUAUAGAAAAACAAGCUUAGUUUGCUUUCUUCUAUGCAUAUAUGCAUGUUUCAUUCUGUGGUUCUCAGAUGUUGUUACAUGUUAUUUAUUCCCCCGGACCUUUAAUAUAAGCAAAAUUUCUAAUUAGAAACGCGUGUUAAAAUAUUCAAAUGCCAAAACAAUUGAAAGAGAAACUCACUAAGAUAUGAACUUUUGCUUACCUUGAAACUAACUAUAACCAGAAAAGAUAUAUCAGUUAAAGGAAAUUCAAAACUUCCGAAGCAAACUUCCACCUAAAAGGCUAAAACUGCUAAAAAAUGAGUGCUCUUGAAAAAUGUCUACUUGUUUCUUCCAAUGCUAUAAAGUGUGGAACGGUGCUAUCUUGGACCAUUCCGUUCCUUAGUCCUUACACCGCUCCUUUAAUUUAGGGCAACCACGGAUUUGAAACAACUCAAGUGAAGCGAGGUGUCAAAUACCUUUUGGCAAAGAUACCUUCUGGCAAGAAUCCCAAUUCCUUGUAUUCAGUGGUAUAUAUAAUUCAAACAGAAAUAAAUGGCACAUGUUCAGUUCCACGAGAGAUGCUAUCUAUAAGUGAAACAACGAAUGCUAAUCAACUAAAAUUGAUAAGAGUUUAAAGAUGCAAAUUUCACUUUGCUAUCAAAUAAAAAUAUUGAUUUGUUAUUCAUAUCCUCCAAAGUCAUCACCUGUUCGUUAAGGUAGCAUUUAUUUUUUUUAAUAUUGGUACUUUUUACGCCAGUCGAUGUUUUGCCAAAGUAAGAAGUCAUUCGUUAAGGUAGGGUAGAAAACUGACUUAAGAAGCCAAUACUUCUUAUGUCGUCUGCUGUUAAGUUGGGCUCGGAACCGACUUAAAAAGCCUUUUAUUACCUGUCUUAUCAAGUGCUUUCUGCACUAGUGAUCAUGAAAAAAAUGUCUAUUCUUUUUCAAUACCUUUAAGGCGGAGAGAGAGAGAGCAAACAUAGAACUAAACAUGGGUUAGAGAAAUGCUACCAAUAUACAUUUUCUAACACAUAUAUAGAACUAAACAUAGGUUAGAGUAAUACACGGUGUAUCUAUUUAGUGUCCUUUCUAUUUAGCCAAUGUUGUUUAAAUUCCAUUCUUGACGAUGUUUUUUUUUUUAAAUUACUAAUUAACAAGUGAUUACAUUCAACACAUGUAGUACCUACACUUAUAAAAGUCGUGUACCACACAUGUGAUAACAUUCAAUUAACAUUUUUUUUAAAUUACUAUUGUUAUCGAUGUGUCAAUAUUUUGAUCGUUGUUUUUGUUUGGGUAUCAUAGAUUUUUACAAACUUGGCACCCAGGGUGUGCCAUCAAACUAGAUAACAACCAAAUUCUGACUCAACUCAUCAAGCCAAGGAAAUACAGUCGAGUGUAUAUAAUUACUUCUUUCUUAAUUCAUACAUGGUUGGUGUUUCUAUUUAGUCUCCUUUCUAGUUAGCCAAUGUGCAUGGUUUCAAAUCAACUUCUGGUAUUGAUGAUGUAUUUUUCCUGAUUUGUUGAGCUAAAAUUCAUUUAUUUUGUUUGUAACUAGUGUCUCUACUAUAGUGAUGUUGUCAAUAGCGGAUCCCGGAAAAUAGUUGUUUGUUCAAAUUCUGCUAUGAUAUGGUGCUAUAGCGCUGUUAUAGCCGCUAUUUGACAACUUUUUGUACUAAACAGCACAUCGCAGAACAAUUCCAGUUUGUUCAAAUUCCGCUAAGUUAUAAUGCUAUAGCGCCGCUAUUUGAUGGUAUAUUGUGUCAAGUUUCUAGGCUUCAUUAGUUAAUAGUGAGGAAAGUACAUUAAUCACUAGCAUAUUGUUUUAUUUUCUGCUGCAAGGGGUCUCUUUGGUCUCUUUAACGCGCUCUGGUGUGUUAGGGUCUUGAACUUUGGACCCAUUUAUGAGAAUUCUCUAAGUUGUGCCAAAGUUUAGGAGUUCAAACCACAUGUGUUUGAGCUAAACUAAAGAACCUUAAAUCUCUAUCUUUCUUCCAGUGAUUUGAAUCAACACAUUGACAUAGGCAUUCAGUUACCAUCCCAAAUGAAAUAUUAUUGGCAACUUAGAACCACUUGCAUUUAGCUCAAACAUGUGUCUCAUGAUGAAAAUUUGUUCAAAGUUUGUGUCCUUAAGAAUCUUGAGUUAUUAGUAAUAUUUAAAAAUGGUUUAAUAAGUGACAUUCCACCAGAUAUCUUGAACCUCAACAAGUUGAAGAUGUUUUUUAUUGCUGGCAACUAUUCUAUAAGAAGUUUCUGAUGUUUUUAAUGUAUUGAAUGAGUUGUUAAUUUUGGCCAUGUAUUAGAGUGCUACAUUUAUUUGAUAACAAAAAAAUCUCUUUGCUACACUGUUUCUGGGGUGAUACUUUAGUUUAAACACUUAAAUUCAUCAUAGCUUGUUUAAACUUUAAACUUUAAAGCAACAAGAUCAAAGAUGCAGUGUUUAUAUGUAGAUCAGGUAAUGGUUAAAGGGGGGGAUUAGAUGGAAAGUUGGUGAUGGAGGCAUGAUCUAUAGUUGCAUGCUCAUAACAAUGUGUUUGUGGUCUCUCAACCUCCGCUCAGUUUGGAAGGCAUGAACUUAGCUCAUUUAAUUGAUUCUCAAACCGGUCAAUGGCGUGAGGAAGUAGGAAGGCGCUAUUCCAGAAUCGACACAUUAACGAGAUCAUCUGCCUUCCUAUCUGGCAAAUAGAUGCAAUGGAUAGACCAAUAUGGAGACUGUCUAAAAAUGGGAAUUAUUCGGUAAAAUCUGAUUAGUUCACCUUGGAGGAACUUAUUCAGUAACCGUUUGAAUUGGAGCAUGAGAUUCAUUGUUUUCUGGACUGUCAAGCGGCCAAAGAAGUCUGGUUGGAGUUGUGGAAUAUCAUAAGGCCUUCUGUGGAGAAUUCAAUAUCUUUUCGUGAAACUGUUUUUAGCAUUCUGUCAAAUUUCUCUCAACGGCAGAAUUGCCUUCUUACUAUGGGAUUUUGGGGGUUAUGAUGGAGGAGGAAUGACAUAAUUUUGGAGAAUGUGAAUCAGUCCACCAUUGAGGUUACUAGAGGAGCUAUAACAGACCUAGAGGACUGGAAAUCUGUCUCUCAAAGGAGCAGAACAGUCGCGUACAGCAGCAGAAUGCCGUCAUUAUACGAUGGAAAAAGCCACAUUCAGGGACCUCAAAAUGAAAUAUAGAUGCACUGUUUGAAGAUGGAAAAAGCCACAACUUUGGCUGCGGUUUAUAGGAACACCUUCGCCAAGUGAAGCUGAAGAAAGAGGUAGAUUAUAAACAAGAGUUUUCAUAGAAAAAGUGCAUCUCAUGUUAUCCAAGAUAUCAACACAUUUAUUUGCUUCUCAAUACACUUGAGAUAUUUCAACAUGCUACUAUAACUCAACACAGUCUUGAUCUUCUAAAUAAUGCUCCAACCAGAUGCACUUCCUACCAUACGUUCAUUCAAGCUUUGCACCACCACUCCCAAAUCAACUUGAACUUCCAAAUUCAUCACACUCACGCUAAUUUUUUUUUUAAGUAUCCAUUGGAUGCACCAAACAAGACGGUUGAAUUGCACUCAACAAGUUUGCUAGUAGUUGUCUUCUGCUUCAAUUUAACAAGUUAUUGCUUUGGCGUUUGCAGUAACAACCACUAGUGGGAAUAAUCUUUUGAUCACAUUCACAAAUUAUCCAAUGUGCAUCAAAAUUUAACACCCUCACUUUAACAUAAUUAACUUUUUACUGUUUUUUAUUGACUAACCUAAUACCUAACUUUGUCCAAAAAAAGUCUUAAAUUAAGUGAAUACAGUCUUACAACCUCAAAUUAAUGUUUUACUCAGGUUUUCACAUACUAACUUGAGAUCAAGAAAGAAAACUCAUAACUAUAUUAUCAAAAAAAUAGAAGAAAAGUCAUAAUUUUGUCCAAAGUAAAUACCAUAACCACUAGAAUGAGUUUGGUUUGGUAAAAUACAUUAAAUAUUGUACUAGUUGCUGCCUCCGUUUCAAAAUAUUAGCAAAAUUCACUUUUUAGUGGUCCAUAAUAUGAACCACAUACAUCAUUAAAUGAAUGAACCUAAAAAAUGAAUUUUGCUUAUAUUUUAAAACAGAGGGAGGACUAGAUAGAGGAUAAUGUCUAAAAGUAAUUCAUUUUUUUAUAGGGGGAAUUAUUAAAGUCUUUUUGACUUUUAAAAAAAUUAUAUUGCAGCCAACACUUUUCUUCAUUUUAAUUUUUUUUUUAAGAAGGUAAAAUGAAAUUUAUUUAAAACACUAAGAUUCUAGCAAGCACAAGGAAUGCUAGGUUAAGAGACUUAAAAAGCAACAUACAAAGGAAAAGUGUGCCGUAUAUAUGCGGAACACCCAUGUACAAAUACAAACUUCUACAAACAAACCAAAAACACCCUCCACUGAGGGCCCUCGAAACCAAUAAAAACUAAACACCAAACCAAGAGUCAUCACCAAAAACCAAAGUCUAAACGUCUUAAACAAGCCACACCGUCUAACAUUCAUGUAUUUGAAAACCUUAUCAACAACAAACUCAUAGAAGAAAACCUUCAAAAAGCAUAAUCACCACUAGCCACCACAAGCACCACUACCAACCCCAAAUCUACCAUUAACCACCACGAAAACCACCAUUAAUCCUCACCAAAAACCAGCACCAACCACCAUGAGCAUCACCACCAAAAAACAACAUCAGCCACCACGAGCAUCACCACCAAAAACCACCAUGAGCACCACCACAAAAGACCAAGUAUCAACACCACCAUAAAAACCACCAUGAAACACCACAAUCCAACAUAACAAAAAAAACAACGUACGACCUUCUCAACAUCAUCACCACAAACAAAACUCAUCGCCACAUAAAAAUAAAAUAAAAAUUAAUCUUAACACUUGUAAGUAACAAGACACUACCUUCCCCAUAACACAACAUCAUAGGUACUAAAAGAGUGCAAGCAACCAAAAAUGCCAAAACAAAAGGUAACCUACACAUAACAUGAUCCUCUGCCACACAUUGCUCCACCUAACAUGUUUUCCCUUAGACCUCUAAUUUCGUAAGUCCAUGCCUACAACCACAUUCAAGUAAUAUAUGGCUUAAACUCAACACUAACCCACACCUAAAAUUAUGCAGAAGCAGUAUGUCAAAAACCAUAGCAGCACCAAAUUGAACAACCAUUAAAUAAGCUUUACACAUUGAAUACACCAACAGAACACAAACAUGACAAAUUAAGACCAUCCUGCACUCCCUAAACCAAUGAAAGACAAACCUGCCACAAAAACGCAGCAACAUCACAAAAACUACGUUGAGAACCACCACAAAAAACUAGCAGCACCACCACCAUAAAACCCCUCCGAAAACCAUCACAAACCACCACAAAAAACGCAGCAAACUAACACCACCAUGAACGCGAGCGAUGGAUAAAACAACCGCUGAGAGAAACCGGUGGCCGAGUGAUGCGGACGGCCUAAGCCAAUCAUCGCACCACCAACGAUUGAAUCUACAUCGCGGCGGAUAUAGGUUGGAUUGGAAGGAAGGAGGGUGACGGUGGAGAUCUAGAGAGAGGUCAUAGAUGUUUUUACAGAGAGAAAUUUAGGGUUUGCUUAUGAUUCUUCACUUUAAUAUGUUGUACAAUCACACUUUUAAGUCACUCGAAAUGCCUGGAUGAUUAUUUUGAAUUUCUAAGUUAUGUAAUUUUAUUUUAUUUUUAUGGUCAAUUUUAUGUUUAAUGUUUAUUAACAUAUAAAUUUUGUGUAUAUAAAAUUAUAGUUUCUUUUGGUGGCCCAUCCGAACAUUUUUUUCUUGGCUCCGCCAAAGCACACUUGACUAACUAAUAUGUUGAAUGCACCAAGUAAGGAAGAUGAAUUGCAUCCGACAAGUUUGCAAGUUGUUAUGCUUCCCAAACAAACAAACGCCUUCACCAAUAGAACUUCCAAGCCCACACAUCAUUCACCGACUCCCCCAAAUCCGAGAUAGAACACUUGCAAAGUAAUCAAAUGUAGUCUAUAAAAGACCGAAGUGGUUGAUGCCCUAUCCACCAAUCGUAGCAAAACCGGGUGCCUCAACCAUCGCCUAUUUUUUCCGCCAAAGCACACCAUCAAAUCAGUCGUCCAAUCCUUGUGCCGUCAAACUCACUCCACAUAAACCUUUCCCCCACAAGAUUGAUAAAUUCGGAUUGAUCAAAAUAUCUAAACCAUACUUAGCACUCAACACAUGACCAUCGUGAGUCCUCCCCGGAUAAUAACCAUCACCGCCACUUUGCUAAGAGAGUCCUUCAUCCCAAGACCACAUUCAAUCUUCUAAUAUGUGUAUUUUAGUUUUAACACUUUGGCGUGUUUUUUUCAACUGAAAUGUUGUAACACUUAUUCAAUAUGUCAUGAUAGUUAUUCUCUUUUGGUCAUAUUAGCUACUGCACAAGCAGCUCGUUCAGGUUACAAAUUAAGGAAUUGAAACUGGCAAACUGCAUUUUUGCAUAUGUCAUUGGAUUAAUUUAAUUGGCUGUAUUCAUACUUACACAAGUUCACAAGACAAUUAUUUACACUUUUGGUUCAUGUGAAAAGAGGUAAUUUAUUAUAAACUUUUUCAUAUUAAUCCCUUCAUAUAAAAGAAACAAACUUAAACAAGGCCGACCACUGUAAUAUAAUACACACUUAAUUAAUAUUGGAAUUACAUCAGAUUGUUUUCCAGAGUUACAAGAACUCUCACACACAUGAUAUGUACUAAAAUCUUGAAAUAUACUAUAUAAUGAGUAAAUAAUAAUUCAUAUAUAUUAAGCACACUGCACACAAUUCAUGAUCUUGUACAUGUAACACCUUGCAGAAGAAUCCCAGCUGAGGUUGUAAUAUUGUAGACAUUUUGCGAAAUAACAAAGCUAAGUGGGUAGCAAACAACCUUCAAAGUUAUCCAGUUGGAUUCAAAGAUAUCUUUCUUAAACUGGAUGGAAGUGAACAAUUUGAGACCGAAUUCAACCCUUCCAUGUUCUCGGCGGCUACGAUAAAUGUUGUUAGUCACGUGAGGCUCACACGAGUCUACCUUCAGCUUCAUCUCAAUCAUGCUACCGUUGAAAGGUUGAAUAGUUGAUGUAUUUAGAGUGAUGAUGCCGCCAUAUUCAUCCAUGUAAAAUAUCUCAGCAUCGAGUGUAUCUUGGUAUGAGACACUUAGAUACUGCUUUGGGUUGGACAAUGAGACUGUGAUGUUCCAUGCAGCGCUCAUUUUCUCUGUCCCUAGUUUCCUGCCAUUUCCAGUUAGUUGGUUAAGUGAUGCCGAUUCGACUUGGAAAGUCGGGAAUUGUAUAGUACGAUUGAUGAUUAAUGUACACAGAAAUAAGAUGACAAAGAAGGCGCCAAUCAGGGCAAAAAGACCGACGAAGAAUCGGCAGAGGGAAGACAUUGUUGGACUCUGGCUUAUAAUUUGUUGUUCACUAUAUAUAAUGUAAUGUAAAUAUUGGUGAACACUGAACACGAUUAAUUUAAUUUAAUGUUGCUCACCUAGGUAGAUAAUCUAGUAAUGUGAGGAUUAGGAAAUUGCAUUGCACUUUCCUUGUGGUUAUAUUUAGAAAUACCGAGUAAUUGGCUCACAUUAAUUAAGGUAAUAAUAAUAAAGGGCAUGUGCUUGCUUGUUAGACUAAACACGGUGUUUAUAUUUUAUAGUGUCCUAUUUAUUUAGUCAAUGUUGUUUUAAAUCCCAUUCUGCUAUGCUAUUGACGAUGUAUUUUUUGAAAUUACUAUUGAUUACAUUCAACACAUGUAGUACUUAUACUUCUAAUAGAAAGGUGUCCGACCCUACACAUGUGAUUUUAUAUUUUAUUAUGUCAUUUUUUAAAUUAUUAUCGGUAUCGACGUGUCAAUGUCUUAUCCGAUGUUUGUCUUUAUGUUUCAUAGAUUUUUCUAACUUGCACUGAGAGCGCAUGCGUUCAGACUAAUUAACAAUCAAAUUCUGCUCAAAUCGUCAAGCCAAAGAAUUAUAGUCAAGUAUAUAAUUAUUUGGGUGACAUCUAGGAUGAGGGUCCAACUAAACCCCUCACACAUGUACUAGCAAAAUUGACCAUACGAUUUUAAGCAAAAUCAUUGCCAACGGCUGAGAUGUUAGAUUGUUACUACUAUUUAGUCUCCUUUCUAAAGUGAUGUGUUAUGGUGUUGCUAUAGCCACUAUUUGACAACACUUUGUAAUUAAGUGCAUUGCAGAACAAUAAUAGCAAUAUGUUCAAAUUCCGCUAUGCUACAACACUAUCAAAAAAGCAGAAUGCUGUCAUUAUACGAUCGAAAAAGCCACAGUUAGAGACCUUAAAAUGUAUUAUAGAUGCAUUGUUUGAAGAUGGAAACAACUUCGGCUUUGGAAUUUGUAUUCGGAACAGCCAGGGAGUUAUGGUCCAAGCACGGACUGGGUGGUUUAUAGGAACACCUUCGCCAAGCGAAGCUGAAACAAGAGGUACCUUAUAAACAAGAGUUGUCGAAGAAGAAUUACAUUCCGUGUUAUUGCACAAUAGAAAUAUCGUCAUCCAUUUGAAACUUAUUCUUCCAAAUUUGUUUGUAUAUUUUAGUAACUGUUCAAUCAGUGGCACGAGAUAAGGCCACACCACGCCAUAAAUUACACUGAAAAAUUACCAUGAGGAAGUAUAAAAGUGAUUUUUUAUUAUAAAAAGUAAUAACAAACUUAGGAAUUACCAUUAGGAAGUAAAUAAAUAAAAUCUCAAUUAAUUAAUGUUAUUGUCAAUUGUUUGUUACGGAAGAGAGCGUGUGGAAAAAAUAGGAAUUUGUUGGAGAAGUGGAUCAAAACUAACAAAUAUUUGUUAUUUGAGAAAAUAGUGGGAAUUUGUUGCGGAAGUGGAUUUGUUAUUCGAGAAAAUAGCGGGUAUUUGUUGCGGAAGUGGAUCGUAAUUAACAAUAGUUUAUUUUUCGAGAAAGAAAAUGAGAUCAUUUAAUCAUCUAUGUCCUCUAUUAUUGAAGAAUUUUGUUUCUUAACGAGCAAGAAAAUAUGUGAACUGAAAAUGAAAAAUAAAAUGCUAGAAAGUAGCGGCGAUUUCUAUUUUAUAUAACUAACUCCUGUGAUACGGCGUCGUCUUUAUUCAAACAAAUUGUAAAUAUCAAUGCUAAUCAAUAAACCAAUCAAACGUUAGUUUACACACUAGUUAUAAUCACGUCUUAUAAAAUUUGUAAAAUUAUGAAUUGAUCGACAAUAAAAAAAUGUUGUUGUUGAAUGAUAGAGCACAACUUAAAUUUAUGAAUAAUAACACACUUAAUAUUGAAAAUACAUCGGAUAGUUGUCCCAAGAGUUACAAUAACUCCCACAUACUAAAGUCGUGAAAACUAUAAAUAUAUAAAGGGUCUUGUUAACGAGUGCUCCGACACUUUUAAAGUUAUUCAUUAAAAAAGUCAUACACAAGUUUUCAAAUGACCCGACCCAUAUCCUCGUGGGUAACUAUUUUGGUGACCGUUCCCGUACCCUAUGAGCAUCUAAGAGCCGGUACCUGCACCAAUAUCCACAUUUUAACUAGAGCUGUCAAAUGGGCCGACCAGACCCAGCCCGCCUCGGCCCAGUGGGUAAGCUCAUAUAAAUGGGUCUGAGUGGGUUGGCCCACUUGAUUCAUGGGCUACCAUAAUUGAGCUCAUCCCAAUUAGUAGUGGGCUACACGACCCGAUGGGCCAGCCCCGCCUAUAUUUCAAAAUGUAUUAUUUUAUUUUUUUGAAAAACAAUCGAUGGAAUGAACAAUAAAGCUACAUAUCAUAUUUUUUUUAAUAGAAACAUAUUACUUAAAUUAUUAUACAUCAAAUAAAUCAUAUGCCUUUGUAAACUUAGUUAAAUUAUAUAUAAAACGUCUAUUAAAUCAACAUCCAUAAGGAUAAAUAACACAAAAGAAUCAAUGUAAAAGUAGUGUAUUUAUCAUAACUCACAAAGUGAAUCUUGAAGACAAUAAAAUUUAAUAUUACAUAAUAAAAUAAUUCAGUCUUCCCUAAUAAAAGUAUUUAUAAACUAUUUAUUUGUUUAAAAGGGCCGGCCCACAAGCCCCGCUGUAACAUCCCAAUAUUUUAUAUAUGUAUUUUUUAAAUGAUUUUCUUAAAUUAUCACUUAGUUGCUCAACAAUUUAUAUGUGCGAGAAAUUUCACAACAUCUUGGCAUUCCUUAAUUUAGUUUAUUAAUUAGAUUUUCUUUUAUAUAGUUCAUUUUUAUCUUGGCAUUCCUUAAUUUAGUUUAUUAAUUAGAUUUUCUUUUAUAUAGUUCAUUUUUAUCUUGGCAUUCCUUUCUUUGAUGUAUUAUUAUUUGUAAUCUAUUUAAGAAUUAAUUAAUUUUAUUAGAUUAAUUUUUUUUUAUUUGAUUUCUAUUUUGAUUUGGUCUUACCACACGUUUUUCUUGCCUAAUUGCUCAAUUAAACAUGCUUCAAUUCAUCUCCUAUUUACUAUUGGUUAGUGGCCUUGCUUGAGAGAAAUAAUAGGUAACCAACCCAUCUUCCUUUUUGUGGCAGAAUAAUAGUAAUUAGAGAUUAGUUGCCAGAUCAUUUUAUGCACUAUCAGUUAACGUGCAUAUUUCUUUCUCUCUAUAUGCUCAAUUGUGGAGUCAUACGCUCAUUCAUCUCUGUCUUGCGUGUUUCAUUUUUUCUCCUCCAUAACUUACCAUAUAGCCGACAAUGGUUUUAAUUGGGUUUUUUUCUAGAUUACCUUUGAGAAAUGGUGGGUAAUUUAUCCACCAACCAAUCAUAAUGAGUAAUUUAUUGGUGGGGUCAAGAUAGUUUAUGAAUACCAUCUAAAAAGUGAAUGUUUAUUGGUUGGGGUAAAUUACCCACCAUUUUUCCAUAGGUACCCUAAUUGUCACCUUUUAAUUGAGGAUAAUUCCAAUUCCAAUUCACUUCACUUGAUCAAUAGAUAUCAUUUUAUUUUCCAACCUUGUGUGUUCCCGCCAUGUCAAGGAAGUUAGAUCAAAGAAUUCAAUUCCUAAAAGGCUUAUGCAUAUUCUUGCUAUUAUUUAACUUCCUCAUCACUUCCCAGCCUCACUCUCCAUAUUGUUUCUCUCAAUCAAUCACUUUUAAUUCAAAUAUAUUUUUGAAGUUUAAAGCAUUCUUCUGGCACUUCUUUCGACUAAUAUCAUGCAUCAGAAUUUUCCUAAGACCAGAAGCAAAUCUCCGUGCCCUAUUCCUUUUACAUCACGUUAGGUAUGUCAAGAUAUAGGUGUAUAUCUUUCCUUUUGUGUACACACACUAGUUCUAAUUAUAGAAUUUGAUUCUUGAAGCUUUGAGGAAAUGUAGGCAGUUUCGUGGGAUUAAAGUGUGCUAUUAGGAAGGAAAACAUGUAAGGUAAGGAUUUUUUUCCCAUACGUCCAUACUAAGUGUUAGGUUGUGUUAGUAAGUAGAAGUAGCAAUUCUUGUCUUUUAAAAAGAAAAAUAAUUAAAACGUAUUUUCAUGAUAAAAUUAAGGCUUAAUUGCACUUUUGGACCCCUAUCUUUUCAAAAGUUGCGGUUAUGGACCCCUAACUAAUUUAAAUACAAAACAGCCCCCUAUGUUUUGAUUCUUUGACAGUUUUGGACCCCCAAGGCAAAAAAAAAUAAUAAAAAAUUUGACACGUGACACCUCACUUAGGGUGCCACAUCAGCGUUGACCAAGUCAACAAUGGACUGGGGGUCCAAAACUGCCAAAGAAUCAAAACAUAGGGGGCUGUUUUGUAUUUAAAUUAGUUAGGGGUCCAUAACUGCAACUUUUGAAAAGAUAGGGGUCCAAAAGUGCAAUUAAGCCUAAAAUUAAUCCUUUCUAAAAGUGAGUAUUAUUAACUAUGACACUACAAAAAAAACGUGUUAAUUCUGACGGUUUUUUACCGGCGGUCCUUGUUAACCACACAAUCAAACAUCCUUGCAAUCUACACAACAAAGGGUUGCACGCUCUACAUGGGUUGCACACACUACACAGGUUGUAUCUGCCUCCAAUGAUCAAACUCAAGCUCCACAUGCAUCACAAAAUGAAUCCCCUACACCGGUUGAUGCAAGUAUAUCGUCUCAAAUACCAAAUCAAACACGCUUGCAACGUGAAGCUAAAAUGCACCUAUUCAACCAACCAAUCUAACUUCCUCACAACAUGAAGCUAAUGGACGAGAAUCUACAUGGACGAGAAUCUACCCAUUAUUGGUCUGUAGAUGCACUAGGUAUGAUUAUAUAUCGAUAUAAAUAGAUUUAGUCUUGUGUUGUCUCUUGUUUACAUAUUUUUUAACAACAUAACAUUCAUAUCUCAACAUAUGAAGAGAAUGAUGCAAUUCGAAAACUCCAUUUGCUGGUUAAGGACAUCAAUAACUUGCCUGAUGGAUUGCGAGUCAUUGUGGAUUUUGAUGAACAACAUACACCUAUUGGAGAGGCUGCUGGUUUUCUUUCUGGAGUAUGUGGAUUAGUAGCAACACAUAGUCCCUUUUUCCCUAUAAGUUUGGAUAAGUGGUCAGAUAUGCCAGCUAAUUAUUUUGAGACACAGUAGAAAGAACUCUUUGAGGUAAAAUAAUUUUAACUCUACUUAUGUUUUUUAUAGUUUGUCUUUGUAAAAUUGUAAUUAACUAACAUUCUUGUUAUUUGAAGCGUCGAUUUUGUUUCAAUGAAGUUGAAGAUCUAGCUAAAAGAUAUAUUGAGGGUUAAAUUGGCAAAAAGUGGAGAGAGUAUAGACUUAAACUAUUUGAUGAUAACUUCGAUACUACUUUGAGAAAGAAUGAAAUUGUCAACAAUAGACCUGAGAAUGUUCCCUUGGACCAUUGGGUGAAAUUUGUUGAAUAUCGCUUGAAACUCGAGACUAUGGUAUACUUCAUUUUUUAUUAUAUAUUGAUUUUUUUUUUAAAUAAUUAGUUGUUAAAUCAUAGAAAGUAAUAUACUCUCACUUGUUUAGGAAAUGUGCAAGCAAAACAAAGAAGCGAGAAAGAAACAGAUUUUUAAUCAUACGUGCGGCGCCAUGACUUUCUCGAGGAAAAAACAUAUCCUAGUAAGUUUGUCUAUUACUAUAUGUAGCUAAUUCAUUGUUUAAGUUGACUAUUAAGUUAUUUGAUUCAUAAUUAUACUUUUUGUUCUAGACUCUUGAGGCUGGUAAGCCUAUCGGCUAGGGUCCAAUGUGGGAUAUGACCCACAAAAGGGUAGAUGGGAAGUAUGUCAAUGAAGAAGCUCAGAAGAUAGGGGUAAAUUGAUAAUCUACCUCCCAAUUUAUUUUAAAUUUAUGUUCAUUGUUUUAGAAUCGAAGGAAAUGAAUGUUAUUCAUUGGUUAUUUAUUAUUUGGUUUGUAGGAGAAAAUUUACAAUCAUAUAGCUGAAAACCCUAAUGCUUAUUCUGAAAUUUCUCCAAAUGAUAUUGUUGGCAAGAUAUUUGGAAAAGAGCAUUCUGGCCGUGUUCGAGGAAUGGGCAUGAGACUGGUUCAUACUAUUGCUUUUAAGCAUACUACCACACGACUUAGCGGUAUGGACUUUGACUCUUUUCAUGGUAGUACUUCAAGCGGCAGUUCUGCAUUAGUGAACCAAAAACUUGCAACUAUGGAGGCUCAAAUUACAGCACUUGUUGGCUACGUUAAAGCGAAGGAAGGUGGUUCACUGCCUCCAAAGUUAGCUGCUGCCUUAUUUCCCAUUGAUACACAACAUGUAUAACAACUACUCAAUGCAUUUAUGAUUUUGUGCAUGUGUCUUUCUGGAGUAGUACCAGCGCUACAUUAAACUUUGGAAGCACUGAUAUUAUUUGAUGAUAUUUUACAAAAUAGAUCUGAAUGCUAUUGGGCUAAUGAAAUCAAUACUGCUAAAUUUUUUUUUAUCAAUUAAAUGCAUUUCUCUAAGUUUUUCAUCAUCAAUCUUUAUAUUCAUCAAUUAUGAAAAAUUGAUUUUGGAUAAUACUGUCUUUCAAGCUUUUACUUUGAUAAUAACUUUUACUUUGCUUAGGUUGUUGAAUUGGCAAUAAUAUCUUGCUUAAUAUGAGUUAACAAUUAUAAUAUAUAUUUUUUGGAGGCAUCAAACGUAGGAAGUGAAUCUCCAACACCCAAUGACAUAACUAGAUCAUCAGAUGAAAGCAAUGCAUGUGGAGCAUGAGAGCCCUAAUUUUAGUGACAUCAUUUGUGUAGUCAUUUUUAUGUUUUGAAACUUGUUAUUUUGAGAAUAGCUAAAGAUGGUGGAAAUGGUUUGUGUAACUUUAUGUUUGGAGACUUGUUUAUAUUUGAGACUUGUUUAUUUUGAGAAUGGAUAUUUGUAUCAAACUCCACUUGAGUUGAAUUAUAAAUAUAUCAAUGAAAAUGUUCAAAAUUUGUUUGUCCUUUAAUUUUGUUCAAAAAAUAGAAAUGUACAAUUAUAUAUUCCUAUGAAAUAAUAAUAUUAUAAAUAAAGUAAUUUCAAUUUUUUGAGCAUUGUGGCAUUUUAUAUGUCAAUUGUGGCAGCUCAAUGAUUAAAUAUUAGAAGUAAAUUUUGACAGUUGAACAUGCCACUACAUGCAUAGGUCUUAGGAGUACUUUCUGGUGGUUAAAACCGCCGGUACUUUCUGCAUGUUACGGUGGUAAAAAAUGUCAGAAACACUUAUUGACUUUGUCACAAUUAUGUAAAUAAUGGCAUUUGAAACUUCCGCUACAUACAAUUAAGUAACCGCCACUUUAAGCCAAGUAUAUAACGGCGGACAACAUGGCGGCUACGUAAAAAUUCCUGCUUUAAACAUUGUGGCAGGCGAAAUUUCGGCAGUUUUUAAAACGCCAGAAUUGUGCAUAGUGGCGGCUAAAACCGCCAGAACAUACAUUUUUUAGCCGCCGGAAAACACGCGUUUUUUUGUAGUGUGAGUGAUUAUUCUUAAUUAUGUUUUAGAUGAAAGUUGUGUAUGAUAAUGUGGUGUGAAUUGAUAUAUUUUAUAUCAAUGCGCUUUAUAUGUUUUUGUGAUGUUGGAAAAGAAAUGUUACAUUUUUUUUGAUGAAUUAAAGAAGAAAAAGAUGAAAAUGUGAGUUUGUGAAAUGAUUGACUUUUGGUUUGUGUGCUUGAUGAUGCAUUAAUACUUGACUGGAAUUGCCUUAGUGGCGGGUUGUGAUUAUAUUAUGUGUGGUGCCUUAGUGACGGGUUUUAGUCUGCAUUUUCAUGAUCAUGCAAGGCAUAUGCAUCUGUGUGGUGCCUUAUUGGCGGAAAUUGCAAUUAUAUUCUGUGUGGAUGCCUUAGUGGCGGGAAUUACAAUUAUAUUUCUGUGUGGUGCCUGUGUGACAUGUUAUAUCCGGAUCAUAUAGUUAUAAGAGCAUGCAUCUUACGCAUAAUUGCAUUGAGUCUGUUGUAUACAUGUGGUUGAUGAUUGACUUAAAUCUAUUUUAUUGCAAAUGAGAUGUGUGUGAACCUUACCUUGAAGCAUAUGACUUGAAUGUAUUUUUCUUAAUUCUUUUUGAUUGAUAAGUUUUAAUAUUAUCUAUUUUAUGAUAUUGUUUCUGGUGCUUUGAGUAUGAACCAAUUUGGAUAAGGAAAUUGACCCUUACACUAACAUUUUAGGUACCAAAGAAGAUAUGGUCUAUGCUUUAAAGUUUUUGCUUGAAGUGCGUACGGGGGAACAAAUUGAGUUUUUGAUUUGAAUUGUAAUUUUGAAGGAAAUUUAUGUUCAGAAUUUUUGUAUAGGUUUUUAUUAAGAAUCUAUUAAUGAUGAUUAAGCACAAAAAAAAAAUAGUAGUGAUUUUCUAAAAAUGAAAAUAAUUUAGGCGUAAUGUCUUGGAUCAAAAUCCGGGGCGUUACACUCGCGGCCAGCCCAUGUCGGCCUAUCUAAAAUGCAGGACCGAUGUGAUGGCCCAAAAAGAUAGGGUCGUUUUUCAUGCUUUUUUUUUACGGCCUGACCCACACUUAAAUAGGGGACCGAAGGGCCAGCCCGGUGGGUCUGUUCAUUUCGACAGCUCUAAUUUUAACAACAAAAAGACAAUAAAGAACAAAAAAUAUCACAACUUAAUUAAAAUAUGAUCAAAAAUCUCUGAAGUCAACUUAUAAUUUAUUUCACAUUGUAAUAUUUAGCCAAAUAAAAAAGAUCUAAAAUAUAAUAACACAAUUGCAUAUUGCAAUAAAUAUUAAAGAGAAAGGACUAAGCUAGAGUGUACGUACCCGUUCAAAUUUGCAGGUAAUUAUCCAAGUCCGAGCCCAGAUCCAAAAAUGCAGGUAUUUAUCUGUCCAUCGUGUAUACUUUUGCGGGUACUCAUUGGGCUUAGGUCUAAUAGUCAUCCCUAAUAAUCAAUAAUUUAUUUAUUAUAAACCAGGUGUGUUUGCGGUGCGAUUUGAUUCGGUUUUGAGGCUAGAAGUCAUUCAAACUGCAAGAUAAAAAGCAUGCGAUUUGGUUUGGUUCGGUUGACUUUUAAAAUAAAAUUGAAUCAAACCAAAUCAUACUAAUUAUGUUUGGUUUGGAUCGGUUGGUGCGAUUUUUCCGAAAAAAUGAAACUUUUUUUUCAUUAAAAUCAAGUUAUAAAUAUAUUUUCAACAUUACAAUUUUCAUUUUGAACCAAAAAAAUUCCCAACUUCAUACACCAAAUUUAACAAAAAGUAAUCAUAUUUUGUAAGAAAUACAAAAGACUAAGAUUUUAACAUUCACUAAAAGUUCAAGUAGCAUAUGAAUACAUUUUUGAAAUAAAAAGUAAAGAAGAAACUUACCAAGCGAAAAAAUGUGUCAUUUUAUAAAAGUUUCCAUAAGUAUUUGUCUAGGUGACAUAUGUUUAAUUAGUGUUUUUCUUAUGUGCGGUUUGGUUUGGUUGGUAAAAUAAAAACCGUAAACUAAACCAAACCAUAAGGUUGAGUAAAAAAAUGAUCAAUACCCAAACCAAAUGCGGUUUUUUGCGGUUUCGGUUUUGAUUGGUUUGAUUUAUGGUUUUUUAUGAAAUCGGUUCGGUUUUGAACACCCCUUUUAUAUACUAGUGUUUAGAAGAACACUAUAUUCUUGUCUGUUCGCUCUUUUUAUUGUGUUAAUGCAUAUAAAUUACGAACAAUAUUUUUUAUGAAAUUUUGAUUAAAAUUAUUUUGAUUUUGAUUAAAAUUAUAAGUAUAGAUGAUAGAUAUUUUUCACUUUUAUAUAAUAUAAAUUAGAAACAAAUUAUAAUUAACUUUUUCAAUGAUAUCAACUAUAUUAUUGAAAUAUAAUAUAAAUUCUUAUAUUUUUUAAUAACACCAACAUAAUAACAUUUAUGUAGUCUUCUCCCUCAAAAAAAAAAAAAACAUUUAUAUAGUCAAAUUUAUUUAAGGAUAUAAUUGAAAGUAAAAAAGUCAGUCUAAAACCAUGUAUUCUCUUUACACUAGCGGUUGACGGACACAUUGUGUCGGUCUAUCUUCUCUUUUUAUUGCGCUAACACAUGUAAAUUAUAAUUUUUUUUUAUUAUAUUUAAUUUUUGAUUAAAUUUAUAUGUAUAGAUGUUUGUGACUUAUUGUAACAAAUCAUGCUUAUUUUUUUUUUUUUUCAAUUAGACACCAAUAUUGUAAAUAUAAUAUAAACUUUUAUCAUUUUCAUUGACACCAGCACUAUAACAUUAUUUAUUAUAGAAAAAUUUGUAAAGCAAAAUAAAAUUUAUUCCAACUACACACUAAUCAAAAUUUAGGCUUCAACUCUUCGUGAAACCAUUAGUAUAAGUAACAAAAAAUUGUUUUAGGAAAGUUUAAAUUUGCAGAAAAUAAAAACAAAUAUUGUUAAAAAUAAACAAUCUUGAAUUUUUCAAAUCGAUAUCAUUAAUUAAUUUUUAUUGAAAAUGAGUAAGUAGGAGUAAGUGAGAAAAAGUAUAAUUGACAAAUUCUAUACUUAAACUAUCAAAACGACACUUAAAUAGAAACAAAUUUGUACUCAAUCAAAUAAAAAAAAUAUUGCAAUGAGUAUACAAUGACACCCCUCUAAGUUAUGAACAACAUAAUUUACUAAGUUUGAAAAAUAUUCUAAGAGUGAACGACAUGAACUCAAAAUACAAGUAAAUUCAUGUUGCUUGUUUUCAGCAACACGAUAUUUAUUUUAAAAGUGACCUACCUUCUUUGUCAAUGAUGAUCUCAACACCAACUUAUUUCCAGGAUCGAACGACUCAAGUGACUCAUUUUUCAUGGUCACUAAGAAACCCUUAUCAAUCAAACAAGUUGCAUUUCAUACAUGGAACAAACAUAACAUCUUCAAUUAUAAUUGUCUCGCCAUCAUUUCUCAUCAUCAUUUAUCACCAUGUUCUAAUUGAUCUACUGGUGCUAUGGCGCUGCGCUGCUAUAUAGCCGCUUUUUAUAUCACUUUGUAUUAAAAUAAAUACCGCAUGGCAAGGUUUGUUCAAAUUCGUCUAUGAUAUAACAACUAUAACGGCUCUAUAUAGCCACCAUUUGACAACACUAGGUGGUUGAUAGUGUUUAGUUUCUAGGCGUCAUUAACAGUGAAGAAAGUACACUUAUCACUAACAUAGUGUUUUGUUUCUUGUGACACUGAUAAACACAACACUUUACAAUUCAACCAACAAGUCAUCAGUUUUUAUGAACAUUAUGAUUUUCAAAAAUGGUUUAAUCUUAAUUUUAUUAUUUCCUGCUACAAGGGUCUCCGUUCCUUUUACAGCAUUAUGGUAUAUUAUAUUACUGUUUUGGCACUUUAGGCUUCUUUGGUAUAGGUAAUUCUCUAAAUUGAGAUGACUUGAGUAAUGUUAAAAAAAUAUGUGACUACCGGACAUAUCAAUUCAAGUUUCAAGUUCAUUUUAAUAAUCUGAGACAAAAAAAAAUCCAAAACGAUUUAUAUUUUGAGACAUAUAUAGAAAGUACAAUAUAGAUAGUUAUUAUCAACAUGUUUCUAAAUAGAUGUUUAUUGUGUUUGAUUUCAUAUGGUAUGAGAAUCAAAAGUGAUUGCGUAUCCAAUUGAUUUUUUGAUAUAUUUGGGGUGAUGAUAUAGAUUAGAAUUGAUUCUAGAUUGAAACGGUGGUUUGUGGCAUUUGAUUCCAGACACAAUAUUUAUACUUAAUAUUAUUUAACUUAGUUUUACAUAUAUUCAUACAUAAAUUAUUUGAUAUUCAACUCAAUUUAACUUAGUAUUUCAUAUUAUAGGAAAUUUGUCAAUGUCGCAUUGAGCCAUCAUAAUUUUAUGUGUUGAUCAUGAUGUCAAUCAAACAUACACUGUAUCAAAUUUUAUCAAGUAGAUUAUUGGUUAGAUUUUUAUCUUUUAAAAUAAAUAAAUUAAAAAUUUGAUGUUCGAACUCUUACCCUUACAUAUUACAGCGUCCCUACGACCUGAAAUAUAAGUAUGAUGAAAAAGUUUGUAAUUUUUACCAAUUUUUUUCACCUUCUUUUCAUACGAACCAAACCUGAUUUAUCAACCAAUUGAUUGCAUACCAAUUGAUUUUUUGAUAUAUUUGGGGUGAUAUAGAUUAGAAUUGAUUCUAGAUUAAAAUAGUGAUUUGUAGCAUUUGAUUUUAGACACAACAUUUUACACUUAAUAUUAUUUAACAUACUUUUACAUAUUCAUACAUAAAUCACUUCAUAUUCAACUCAAUUUAAUUAAAUGUUUCAUAUCAUGAAAAUUUUGUCAAUAUCACAUUAAGGCAUAUAAUUUUACGUGUCAACCGUGAUGUCAAUCAAACAUACAUUAAAUCAAUAUUUUUUGAGAAAAUACACUAAAUCAAAUUUUGUCAAGUAGUUUGUUGGUUAAAAAUUUAUCACUUAAGGUUAAUAAGAAGAAAAUUCGAUGUUCAAACUCUUAUCUUUCAUAUUGCAACGUCUCUACCAAUUAAAAUAUGAUUACAAUGAAAAUUUUUGUAAUUUGACCUUCUUCCUUAGGAACCAAAACUGAUUUAUCAACCAAAAACAAAACAAAAAAAAA
This 75652-nucleotide long non-coding RNA is filed under the name Medicago truncatula (barrel medic). RNAcentral's name for it is "long non-coding RNA (MTRU_LNC003674)". The stretch from base 67402 to 67574 matches the Rfam family "MIR2619 microRNA precursor family". Lineage: Eukaryota; Viridiplantae; Streptophyta; Magnoliopsida; Fabales; Fabaceae. The record is from RNAcentral.